Molecule: long non-coding RNA, 62806 nt
Filed under: Glycine max (soybean)
Lineage: Eukaryota; Viridiplantae; Streptophyta; Magnoliopsida; Fabales; Fabaceae
Description: long non-coding RNA (GMAX_LNC000683)
Source: RNAcentral
UGUUUGCAUCUUCUUGCUUGGAUAUGUAUUUUAGUGGUGUGAGUGAUACAAGAUCUUUUUUCCUAUGCACUUAUUAUGCAGAACUCUGAUCUAGGCUGCCUCCAAAUAGCUUAGGGUUGUGAAAUUGGAUAGGGCAAUUGUGCUCUGUUGGGGAGAUUCGAGGGGUACACUUGUGGAUCAGGAGCCACCACAUAAGGAAGCCUGACACCACACUCUAACCCAAAACCUUAAGACUCAGGUUUAUGGAUCUUCUCCUCACUUAUAUGGUGUUCAACUUUUUCACUUCUACCCGAUGUGGGACUACACCUCACACUUGUAACCCAACACAUCUUCUCCUCAAGUGUGAGUCUCUUCCACAUGGUAGUCUCCCCCUCGAGCGAAAGUCCACGAGUAUAGCCAUGGCCACCUGCGGUACUUGCCCUGCCCGCUAGCCAUUCUGGCCACCCCACUUCACCUGCGGGACACGUUGUGCCGCUAGUCAUUCUGGCCACCUGUGGUACUUGCAUACUCGUCUGAGCCGGUCACCAACUUGAACCAUCGGCUUUGAUACCACUUGUUGGGAAUUAUCAAUAAACCAUAUACAAUACCAAAUGAGCACCAAAACACAUUACGUCAGAUUAUCAAGAGGUUUUAAGGAAUACCUGAAUCCAUAGAUGUUGAUUAACAGCAGCGAAAUUUGACAAUGGUCACAAACAAUUGGUUUAAUGACCUUCCUCAACCAAAUCACCUUUUUCCUUAUGGAACCUUCGUUUUUUUCUUCAGAUGGGGAGAGGAGAAACUAUUUGUUGAUUUGGUAUAUUACGGACCAAAACCAUGCCUUAUGUUUUAAACCUAUUAGGGUUUCUAUUAUCCCCUAAUCGACUAAACUGGUUUCCGCUCAUUAAGCCCAUAUCAAUUAUCGGUUGGUAAUUUAAUGAGCUCACUUAAAUAGAUCACUUUAUAUUGAACUCAUUUAAAUGUAAAUAACUAAUAUAAAUGUUAUAAUAUAAUAUGUAGCCCAUAUUAAUUAAUUAGGAAUUAUAAAAUUCCUAACACACACAUCUUGAUGGAUAAAAUUUUCUCGGAAAUAACUCAUUAUAUUCCAAAGCCUGAUAUAUAUCAUAUAUAGCACUUGAUUUUGGAGUAUAUAAUAAAUGGAUUUCCUGGAUAUUCGAGAGACCAAGACUCUCUCCACUCUUUUUCCCUUUGUUUGAAUGAGAGGGAAAAAUGACAGGAGAAGUUUUUUAUAUUUGAAAUUAAAGAGAAAACUUGGAGAGAAUAUUUUGAAAUUUUGUUUCUUAAGAACAACCUUUCUUUAUUUUCUUUUCAACUUAACAAGAAUUUUUUUAAAAUUAAUAAUAAUAAAAAAACUCCCCUGAUCCUUCCUUGAAUGACAAGAUACCUCUCACUCUCACCUCGAACAUGCCUUCUCUGAUUAUUCUAGCUCCCAACUAACUAACUCCCUAGCUAAACUAUUUACUCCACCAACUAACCAUGGGUACAUGGACAGUGAUGGAUCCAAGACUCUAAGUUAGCGGGAGUAAUUUUUUUAAGAAAAUAGAAAUUGAUAAUAAUUAUUAUCACACAUACGAAGAUAAGGAAAUAGAAUUGUAAUUGUUAAAAUCAUAUAAUUUUAAUAUAUUAUACAUACGGUGAAAAUACAAAAUUUAACUUUCAAAUCAAAAUACUUGAAUAAAAAAUAACAAUAAAAUACAAAGAAGAAAGAAAACUUGGGUCAAUGGGUUCAAAUAUAUAGAAAUACAGGAAUAAAAUACAAAACUCAAAAAUAUUUACUUAAAAUUUUAUUCAAGUAGGGAAUAUAUUUGCACACCCUAAUUUAUAAUUUUAUAUGUAGUUCUGCCACUGACCAUGGGGAUCACCUGUCAGCAUUAGUCAAGACUUGUUGUGAAAGUAGCUUACUCCUCAAGUUUAUAACCAGCCACUAAGUCACUAACACAAAUAUACUAGCCCACUAGCAUAACUCACAAACUGAGCCUAUAAAAAGCUAAAGACCCAAACAUAAAACUACUAAAAUGACACUAUAAAAAUAGAAAAUUCUUCAGUUUAGGCGAGUUCUACUGUAGUCAGUACCAUGUGAAACUAUGAUAAUUAUAGUUUGGUUCCCUCCUCUCUAAUUUCCUGGGCAUCAUUUUUGCAUCAGUUAGAAGGAAUUGUCAAUCAUUAUCUUUAUCUAUUUAUUGCAUUGGUAAAAAAAUUCAAUGUUGACAGGCUGGCAGGUGCAGUGCUCAUAGCCCCAGUUCUCAAUUACUGGUGGGCUGGUCUUCCUGCAAACUUAACUAAUGAAGUUUUCUACCAACAAAAACUACAAGACCAGUGGACAGUUCGUGUGGCUCACUACAUACCAUGGCUAACUUACUGGUGGAACACUCAAAAAUGGUUCCCAUCUUCUAGUUUAAUUGCUGACAGUAUAGAUCUUCUUUCCCUUCAAGACAGAGAACUUUUGCCUAAGAGGUCUGAUCGAAAGAAUCAUGUGGUAUGUAUCUGGAUUAUAGAGUGAAAGUCAUGUAACUUCAUAAUUUAUAUUUGUUGUUGGCUAGAUUCAUACCAAUUGAUUUUGAUAUUUGUUGGUGACUGUUGUGCCUAAAGUCAGAACUGUUUAAUACUGUAGUAAAUGUGUCUAACUAACUGUUUAAUACUGCAUGUGAAGGACUGCAUCUGUUGAAGUCAGUUGUGAACAAUUAUAUCUACUUGUCACGUUUGAGUUUAUAGUUCUUUGUAAUCUUUUUCUCUAUAGAACUGCUCAAACCAAUACCAGUCAUAAAUUUGGAAUUGAUAACUAUUACAGUUUGUAUGUACUCUCUAGUUACCAUUGGCUAUUAAUAAAAGUUUUAAAAGACAUCUUGUACACAAAAUAUAUUGAUUACAUCCAAACCUUAUUCUACUUGGUGGGAUCAGCUACAUGGAUUAAUGCUUACCAUUGGGUUCAACAAAAGCAAAAAUUUCACUCUAACCAUGAUUAUCAUUUAGAGCAACUGAGCAGGGUCUUAGAGUCUUGUAUCAUACACACUACUCAAAUUUAGUAUUUACUCAUUUUGUACCAUCAACUAAGACUAUAUCAUUUGCAAUACUAGACUCGAGUAUUUAAAUUAUGAACAUUCAUGCAUUUUAUUAGUAUCAAUUUAGGAGUAGAUGCAAGUAUGCAAAACUUGUAGGAAGUAGGAACAUAUUAGACUUAUUGACAAAACUAUGGUUUUUGAUGAUUUACUCUUGUAUGAUAAUUGCCAAUAGUUUAAUGCAUUUUGUAAUCACUAAAAUGUGAUGUGAUAGAUACCAUACCAGAAACACAUAGCAUCAGUCCAGUAGGAUCAUGGAAUAUGUAUGGAGUGUCACUUUGUGUAUGAAAUCUGUUUACAAGAUUUGUCAUUUAGAAGCAGAAAUCGAUUGCAAAGCAAACAAAUUUUGUAGUAAAUGUUUGUUUUAUCAGAGAUGCAAAACAUUUGUUUAGGCUAUAGGCCUUUGGUGCAUUAGUGCAUUACUCUUUUUAGAGAACUGCUACUACGACUUGUGUGCUACGCAUAGGUGUUAAAACUAUCUUCACUGUUGUCUUGUAUGUUAGUUAUCAACCUUAUUUUUUCUUCCCUUGGAUAGACUGCUGCUUGAUGUCAUGAUUUUAUGAAUUCUUUAUAUGAAGAGUUGUUUCCCAACUUAUGAUGGAUCACUAAGUAAUAAAUUGAUAAUUCUUUUUUUGGUACAUAGUAAUAAAUUGAUAUAUAGAACUUCUUUUAACAUUAGGGGCGUAAAAUAAUUUUUUAUAAACACUAAUGAUAAUUAUUGUUGAUACCAUGCACAUUGUUUUUUACUGGAUCAUGUUUAAUUUGGUUGGUUUCUCCUAUUGGUUAUUGAAAUGUGGCUGAUAUAUUGUCUUAUUGUUCCACAGGCUCAGGUAAGACAGCAAGGUGAACAUGAAACUGUUCACCGAGACUUAAUUCUCGCAUUUGGUAGCUGGGAAUUUAGUCCAUUGGAUCUGGAAAAUCCAUUUCCAAAUAAUGAAGGUUCGGUCCAUAUUUGGCAAGGAGAUGAAGAUUUGAUAGUGCCUGUUAAAGUGCAACGAUACAUUGCACAAAAGCUUCCGUGGAUUCAGUAUCAUGAGCUUCAAGGUGCAGGCCAUUUGUUCCCUCAUGUUGAUGGUAUGAGUGAUACUAUCAUUAAGUCACUUUUAAGUGGGAAAUAAUUAACUUUCAAUCUAGGACAUUGAUUGUUAUUGUUAGUCCAUGCAGAUUGAAUUAAAAUCUUGAUUUGCGGGAAGAAGAAUCACGUUGCGCAGUAGUGCUCUUUGUUUGGAUAUAAAUUUAUAAAUAUUUCAAUUCUAAGUGAAUAAAAUUCUUCUUAAGAAAAGUGAACUUUAUCAAAAGAAUUGAUUGUGGGAAUGAAACCUGUAUCAAAUAUCCAUAUACCUAUCGUAUAUUUUUAUAAUAUCGUAUCUGUAUUAUUUUUAAUAUUAAAAUGAAAAAAAAAAACGUUUUAACAUUAAAAUAAAACGAAAACAUAGUGAGUCUAGCAUAAAAUAUAAAACAUAAUUAUGUGUAAGAAUCAUCUCUUACGUGAAAAUAAUGUAAUGAAUGGUGCGUAAAUAAUAUUGUUAAGAUUUAAAAACAGAAGAAUGAAUACGUGUGAGCUCAAGAGAUAUGCUGCACUAAAACAAGGCUACACAUGAGACACCUGUCCUAUACGUGGCGAGAUUUGUGACCAAAUCGGGAAAAUUUUCUGUCUAUUGCGGCAUUUGACAAUUUUACUUUAGUUAAUCCCUUGAUUUGUGGGGUAACCUUAGCCGGCAUGAAUCAUAUAGACGAAGAUGGUCCUUAGUUGCAGGGCAGUGUGCCUUAUAUUUACCUCUUUAUUAGAUUGGGUUUGUUCUAAACAAAUUUGAACUCACUCAAAUUCAACGGGAACAUCGAUCUCAUCUUCAACUCAGUGUCAUACAAGAAUAAUAAGCUCUAAAACUUUUGUCACUGCUACAAAAGGAACUUGAUUUACCAGCUCGCAUUCGAAUUUCAAUUUCCAGGAAGAAGAAGAUGGUGAUUGAGGAGGGUGACAUGAAGUCGCAAGGCGAGGUGGAAUCACGGGUCCAACAAGAAGCGAAUUACAAGAACCACAACUACCAUUCUCCAUUAUUCUCAUCACAUGAAGUUGUUGGGGAGGCUUCUGGUGGCUAUGUUGGAAAUGGGAAGAGGGAUCAUAAUGGUGGUGGGUAUCAUUGUUUUGGAGGAGGUGGUGGGUAAGGGUGGGGCCCACAAUGGAGAUGGGUGGGCCUGAGUCCGACCAAUUCGUCUGAUGGGAUAGGGAAUAAUGGAAGGCAGUUUGGGCUUGAGAGGGAGAAAGAGGGUGGUGGAUUGUCAUGUGGAAAAGGUGGUGGAGAGAAGGCAGAGGAGGUUGAUCAAGAAUAGAGUCAGCUGCCAGAUCUAGAGCCAGAAAACAGGUGCAUUUGCAUGCAUGCCUCAUUUUUAUCAUCAAUCCAUGCAAUGGCUAUACAUAUCCUGUUGAUAUAUAUUAUGAAAUAUUAAUGCUGGCUUCUUGACUAGAAAUGUUGUAUAAAGCCACUGAACUCAAUCUCAGUGAACUAAGGAUAAUUGAUAUAUAUAGUAUGUGUGUAAAAAUCAAUAUUUGUCAACACUGUGGAUAUCAUUUGAAAAUGGGCAAUUCAAAUAGAAUCGAACUUUGGAUGAAUCUGGAUCCCAUUAAAUUUCAUUUCCAAGAGGAACCUCAACAUUACUUUAUGAAGAAUUAAUAAAUGUAUCAAUUUAUUAACUUAUUGCACCCAAAUUUGGAUACUGUAAGUUUAUAUAAGAAUCUGUCCUUGGACCUUUCCGCUUUGGAGUGUACAUAUUUGCUAUUGAUGCAUUAGGAUCGAUAAUUUUCAUUAAUAUAGUAUUUUUUUUCCCCUUGAAAUUAUGUAACUAGGAUUGGCUUUUCCAGAAAUUAUAAGGGGUUGACAGGUUUCAGAGCACCAGGCUAUCAGCUACUAAUAUAAUGCCAAUUAAUGAACUUUUUAAUUAGCUUAGAUUUAAAGAUGUGAAUAAAAUAUACAUCAAAAUGGACCGCGUAGCUGCUAUAGCUUAUGAGGCUCAUUGUGCUUUGCACUUCUUGCAUUGCAUAGGCUUGGUGUGGUAUUGUAUACUGUAUGGAUAUAUAAUAUUUUGGUAGAUAUUUGAGGAAGGAUUGUUAUUUAGCUUUCUUUGCGGAACCUUAUUCGUUCCUUUUUUUUUUAUUUUGGCCUUGGCAGGCAUACACAGUGGAAUUACAAGCAGAACUGAACCAAUUGAGAGAAGAGAACGCCCAACUGAAACAGGGCUGGUACUGCCAAAUAACAUGAACUUCUGCAGAGUGAUGAAAGUUUUCCUCUGUUGUUGUUAUGUAUUGAAGUAUUAGUAAUUCAAUUAUACUGACAAGGAUCUUGCUUUUAUUCUUCAUGCCGAGCCCGAGAGGAAAAGAAAGCAACAGGUAACCACACUAACCAAUAAUGAUCCAAUUAAAUUCUUGUUUGAAGUUCAUAUCAAGGGUACACAAGAUAUUGGUGUAACAUUGUCCUUUCACGUUGGUGGGCACUAUUGCCAGAUAUUCAGCAUAGAAGCAAUUAAUUACCAGAAUCAAUCUAAUUAUUAUGAAGCAAUCCGUGAUUUUUUUUAUCGCCGGCCUUUUGUCCUUUCAUCCAUUGUAAAGGUUGAAAACCUGAAACUGGAAACAAUGUACCCACAUAAAAGUAACCACAUCUUAGGUUCUCCUUCCACAAAAAAGAAAAAAGCAACAAAUAAUAGAAAGAAAGGGGUUGUGAUGGAAACUGAAAUUCACUCUUAUACCCAAAGAAUCUAUAACUUUACAUUUGAAGAAUUCUUGUGAUUCACGGCAGAAGAAAUGGACAAAAGAAACUCAUGGGGCAUGCAAGUAUCUUCUUUCACUUUGACAGAGAUUAGAUGAGUACGACAGAACCCACUACUCAUAUUCAAACUCAAACUUUACAUGCCCAUAUUUUCUUCCAAGUUGAAGAAUGAAUUCAGAGAAUCUGGCAAGAAUUUGGCACUCUUCGUGUGUUUUGACCUCUGAAACAAAACCAUAAAUGAUCAAUUUUUUCAAAUUGGGACAACCUUCCAGAAGUGCAGCUACCCAUACUGAGAAAAGAUCACUAAUUACAGUCCAUCCAAGUUCUAACACCACCACAUUCAUCAAACAAGACAAACCCUGCAAGCCAUAAUGAAGAACUCCAUCUCUUAAAUCAUAGCUUAAGGACAAAUGUGUCAACUGAGGAAAGCAAACAGAAAUUGUCUCUAUAUCAACAACCUCAUCCUCAUCAUCAAAAACGACACCCCACAUCCAAAGCUUAUAUAACUUUGAUGCUUUUGAGAUCAUAUGAGAAAAUUUUGGCCACAUGAUUGUGAAGUUACUGACAUCUAUGAUCUCAAGGUUCUCUGUACUAUCCCCAAUAUCAAGAUGGAUAACACUCACAUCAUCAAUUUUCAACACCUUCAAUGUCCCCUUUUCAAUCAGCUCAAAAACCUCAAAGCUACAAUAUUUCAAAUGAAGCUUCUCAAGCAAAUCCGCCUCCAAUAUAAACUUAUCCGAACUAAACAAUUCAAGGUCCAAAACCUUCAAAGAAACGUUGCUGAGCUCUUAUAUAAGCACGUUAAAGAUAAAACACAAAACAAAUAUAUUUUACAUAAUUAAAACGAAAAAAGAUAUUUACAGUAAUAAAAAUAAAUAAUAAAUGCUAAAUUACAAUUAUCAAAAUUAUAUUUAAGUCAUUUAAAAUUAAUUAUGAACAUCGUGCAUGUACUUAUCUUGAUUGAAAUUAAUUAUCAAUGCAUAGUUGUUUUACAAGCUCUUCCACUUUAGAAAAAUCAAAUGAUUAAGAAUCUAUAUCUUAUCUUAUUUUCAAAUAUUAACUAGUGCCCUUAACUAAUUUCUUUACGCACUAGUAAAAGAAUUAAAGUAUAAAUAUUUUUAUUAGUAGGUAAAAAAUUACGUUGUUCAUGACCGUUUUUGUGUUCCCUUAUAAUUUUCAUACUAAAAGAACAUUUGGUAGAUAAUUUUUUUUUCAGAAAUUAUAGAUGGAAAACUUAGUUUUCCAAUGUUUGGUAUGAGGUUUUAAAAAUAACAUUCCGAAAAAAGAAAGUUUUUUGGGAAUAUUUUUUAAUCAAGAAAACUUUUAUAUGAGGAGAAAUAAGAAUUUUAUUUUCCAAGUAAUUUUAUUUUUAUUACAGUAAAAAUAUCGUAUUACUUUUUAUUAAAUCAUUUAAUAUGAUAAAAAUAUUACAUAACUCUUAUUUUUAGAAAACUUAAGAUUUUAAUGGCCAACCAAAUAAAUUUUAUUCAAAAUUCUUCCACAUAAUUUUUUUUUCCUAUCCAACAUCUCCUAAAUAUUUUUUUUCUUUUAAUUUGUUAAUCAAGAAACCUAUCAAUUAGUGAGUAGGCAUGGCAACGGGCGGGUCGGGGUCGGGUUUUGUUUACCCCACCCCCGCCCCCGACUCUCCAUUUCCCUCCCCACCCCCACCCCCGAAACCGACGGGGGUGUAUAUUUACACCCCAUCCUCGUCCCCGAUCGGGGUCGGGUUUUUCCCGCCCUGCCCCCGACAUUUUUAUAAAAUUUUAUUAAAAAAUAUAAUUUUUUAUAAAAUAACAAAUAUAAUUUUAAAUAAAAUAUAAAAUUCAAUUCAACACUAACAUAAAAUUUAAUCUAAUAAUUUCAUAUUUCAAUGUGUUAUAUAUAUUAAUAAUUAACGGGGCGGGUUCGGGUACGGGUUCGAGACGGAUAUUGAGAAUCUCAUUCCUGAUCCCGAACCCGAAUUUGGUUAUCGGGGAAAAUUCGACCCUGACCCCGACCCUGGUCAACUCGAAUUUUUCCCAUCAAAAUCGGGACGGGUCCAGGACAGGCCCCACGGGUUCGGACCCGUUGCCAUGCCUAUUAGUGAGACCCUAUUUUCUUUCUUUUAUUUUCAUGACGACACCUACAGAUCACAUGGACGACUUACCAAGAUUACCAAACUCUUGUCUUAGUGAAAAAUCACUGUUAAUUUAAUUUGCAAAAUAAUGAUGAAUUUGUAUCCGAAAAUUUUCUUUUCCUAUAAAUUCAUUGUUAUAUUAUAAAAUGAUUAAAUCUGCGAUUUUGAAUAAGAAAAUUUAAAGAGCUGUAUAUGACUUUCUUAUUUUAAGUAUUUCAUUUUAGUUUUCGUUUUUAUAUAUGUAUUUUAAAAUAUUAAUAACUAAAGUUAAUUAAUCUCAAUUUAAAUUUCAAAUGAAUUUUAAAAUCUUAAUAUCCACAUUAUAUUAUAGCAAAUAGAAAAUUACAAUUUAUUUUCAUAAAUCAUAUUAAAUUAAUAAAUAUAGAAAUGCAGGACAUAUUUAGCCAUUAGUAUUUUUCAUUACAUAAAGCAUCUUGUGCCAUUAUUGACAGGUCAUGAUUCCUUUAAAUGCGAAACACAAGAACUUCAUGAAGCUGUUCUGGCUACCGUCCUUCUAGCGUUAGACGUGCGCACAUAUUUCCUCCGAGCAAUGCUAAGACUAAAUUUUCUUUAAAAAAAAAAAAAAAACAACAAUGCUAGAGACUAUGUCACUCAACCAGAAAUGAUCAUUGGUAAUAAUUUAGUGAAAGCGUAAUCUUCAAAUUGACCAAAGAAUUUUAAGAGAAGUUUCUUUAGCUCUGAAUGAUAUGUUAAACUUAACGAAAAUUAUUUCAAUGAUAUUGUUAACCUACAAACUACAAUUCUCAUGAUACAAAUAAUUUUAUAUUAGAAAUAAGAAUCAUCAAAACAAAUGAUAAUACAAAUUGUUGAAAUAAGCCUUAUUACCAUCAGCUUCAGAGAACUCUGUAUAUUGAGACCAUGUCAGUCCUCAGUAUCCUUUUGUUCUGAGCACCAAAGCUCUCAUUUCCCUUGUUCUCGCAGGCAGAAUAAUAGAAAUCCAUUAGUUGUACUUGUAUGUCUAUCUAUCAAUUAAAUCGUGAAAGGACGACUUCAUUACGUGAGGAUCCACAGCAAGUUGAAUAGCAAUUUUAACUAUUUCAUGGCUUAGAAGAUCCACUACUGCCUGUUGUCAUGAAAGAUUCACCACAACCACACUGACCUUUAGAAUUUGGAUUGACGAAAAUAAAUUCCGAUCUGACAGGAGAAGCAAAAAGAGUAGAAGUUAAAAUAAGAGCACUGAAAACAAAGAAGUAGUUCACAUUAGGAAAAGAACGAAAGUAAACGGUUGAACCAACUAACCAACAGAAACCAGCACAACAAAUAACUGUAAAGUAAUUUUCAUGCCAUUUCAUCAAUAUCUCCUUUAAGUGAUGCAGACAUUUUGUCUACAUACAUUUGAGAAAGGAAAAUCACUAAUCAUCCCCGGAGCUAGGCAUAACAUGUAACACAAAUUCACUUCACAUUCCAUCGAAAGCUUCCUUUAAUAAUGCAUAUACUCAUACUGGAAAGAUAUUCGGGAUUUGGAAAAGAAAAUAAUCGAGUACUCCAAAAGCACAAAUUAAUGCAGAGUCAGGGCAAAGGAGGGAGUAAAAUAGUUUUUGUCACAAGUAGAUCAAUGCCCAAAUAUACAGUUCCUAAAUUGAAGCUAAAAAGAUGGUAACAUUCUGAUGAAGAGAAUUUUAUCAAAGUAAUAUGUUCUAAAGCUUCAUAUAUUUAUAGGCAUUUGUGUUUCAAUUCUAUGUAUAUUCAGUAUUUAUAAAUUAUAAUGUCUAGAUUCAAUUCUUUACCAAAAAAAGUUCAUAGAAAGGAUUACAAGCAGAGGUAUCCCUCUGUGAGAAUGGAACCACAAAGAAAAUGCAUGAAAAUAAAGAAAAUAAAGAGGGAAUAUCCCACCCCUUUCAAACCUCACUGCCAUACUUAAUUUUUUGCCUAUCAACCUCACUUCCUUUCCCGUUCUUAUCUCCACCCCCUUUCUCCCCAUACAGGUACAGUGCCACAAUUCUGAUAGAAUUAGAAUCAAUACACAAGAAGAUAAGAAAAGAAACCUUCAUAAAAAUUUUCAGUUCUAACACUCUCCAAUGUGAAGAAGUGAUGCUAGAAUUACAACGACUAAUUAGGCUAUGUUUAGUAAAACUAACUGAAAAGUUAACUGGAAGCUAAAAGUUAGAAGUUAGAAGCUGAAAAAUUAGUUUAUUAAAUUAUAAGUGUUUGUUAAAACUAGCUAUUAAAAUAGCUAAAAAGUGUAAAAUGACUGAAAACAAUAAAAUCAUGAUUUAUCUAAAAAGGGUAAGCAGAAAAUUUGAUAAAUAUUUUAAGGAUAAGAAAGGAAGAAAAUACAAAAAGCUACAGGCUAAAAACUAACGUUUUUUGCUGCCGAGAAGCUACUAAAAAAAAGUUUGUUUAUCAAUUAUUUGCUCUUCCCUCCUCAGUCCAAACUAAAUAACUAAUGCUGUUUUGGGUAAUUAGUUAGGAAUACAAUUCAUUAGAUCUAAUUUAAUCCCCAAGGGGUUGAUUCCCUACAACUUCGAUCUUUCGUCUCUCAUACACCUUCAUAAUGGUUGGCCAGGUCCUAUUAGAUUCCCUUCUCCACUAAACAUGUGACGGCUAUCCAUGUUGUUUCAGGUUCAGCCAUUCCACUCCAUUGCAACAAACUCUUCCUUUUGCACUUUCCCCUAAUGAGGAAUAAGCACUUCCAAUCUCCUCAUUCUUAUUUGUUAUAUUUAAUCUCAGGCCAGCAUGAUUGUGUAAAGAAAAGAAGCAAUAGCAAAUUAGAAAGCAUUAUAUUCUGUUAUAGCACACACACACUACUAGUUUUAAAUUUUAAUAUUCUGUUUCUAGAAUAAUUACGUGGUUCUCGUAAAGAAUAACAAAAUAUAGUUAAUUACCUAAGCAUCAGUGUCACAUCAUCUUAUUACUAAGACGAAUAUAUUGUAUAAACUAAAUUCCCACAAAAAUGAUUCUAUAUGUUUUUGGAGGUAUGAUUAUUUUGAUUAUUGAAACAUUAUUACGCAAACCACAAGUAUCAGAACUAAAAAAUAAGAUUUCAAAUUUACCUACUUGGACACAGUUUAUAGUUCCAUGUUCUUCUAAAAUAGAUAAUUAGAACACAAUACAUCUGAAAGUAUUCAAUUAGAAGAAACCAAAUAACAAGCUCAAACUUUUGGUCUAGUUCCGUUCAUGUGCUAUUAAGUUGUCAUAAUGAGUCCAAUUUUAACAGCCAGAAUAGACACAAAUCCUUAAUAUCAACUUUGAAUGACACUUAUUAAAAUAUUCUUGGUAUUACAGCCAGAAUAUUGGCACAACAGAUUCAGUUCACAAAGUAACAUGCAUGGAUUUUUAGAUAUUUAAUAAAGCCAAGCAUAAGCAUAUUUAUUGGGUGGGUGAGGAAAUACCAGUGUGGAAGGGUGAGAGAGGUAGCAAAACAUACAGUAUCAUAUUGAUACCAGUGGCAGUAUUAAGAGGAAAGACAAAUUCACUAAUGAUUAUAAUAAUUGUGUUUAGUAUUCUAAGUUAACCUCAAAAUCUGAUGUCUUUUAAAAAAUAUAAAUAUUUUCCAAUUUGAGACUACUCAAAUGGAAACUGUAUAAUUCCUGAGAGGAUGAAUCUCUCCAUCCAAAAAGCAACCAACAGGAUAGGAGUAAGUUAUAAAGAUUUAUGAGGGAAGACAACUAAUUUUGGUGUAGAUGUAACAGAUUUAAACAAUAAUCUUAAGAUAUCUGCGUCCCAAGUCCAAACCAAUAUAGAGAGAUUUAUCAUCCCAUUCCCAAAACACAAUACAAUAAACAAAAAUAGAAAAAGAAAAAUAUAAGUUGAACAUGAAGAAAAGGUGUUAAAGAAAACAUUUACCUUAGUUUGUCAUCUACAAAAUCCAUUUUAGUUCCAAUGACAUGCAUAAGGGCCUUUGGAUCAAUCAAUAUCUUAACACCCUUAUCCUCAACCAACUCAUCAAACUUCCCUUUUUCAUCUGUCAAAGCAACAGUAAUCUAAGAUGAAAAAGUCAUAACUCAUAAUGAAAUCAUGCAUCCAUCUCCAGCUCACCGCAAUUGAAAGGAAUAAUCAGUACACAAAGAUAGUAAAUUCCCAACAGGAUUAAACUUUAAUCAAUAUUACUCAUAUUUGGGACAUGAAAUUUUUAUAAGAGAAUAGGUUAGCACCAAAGGACAAUUUUGAAGUGUUCCUAUUUACCUCAGUAUUUGACAUACCUCAAUGCAUGCUUUUGACUAAUGAUAUUGCCAUAGCUACCUUAAGAGUAAGACAAUGGAAUGCGAGUUUCACAAGACACAAGUUAACAACAAUGUUUUGGAAAUUGGAAGUAAAAUAAAACAAGAGUAGAAAAUGUUUUAAUAGAGCUCCAUGGGGCAGAAUAAUAUAGGUGGCAGACUUCACAUAGAGGAUUAAAGGUUUUCCCGUAGACUGUAGUCAUCACUUUCAUUAAUAGCAAGGUAUGACUCAUUUCAUCAUCUCAAAUGUGACUCCAAAUUUUACUUCCUCAUUUCAAUCAUCCAUAGUUCUUAUUUCAGCCAAAAAGAAAAAUGAAUCGAGUAUUUUCAUUUUUCAGGCUAUUGUAUGUAUAUAAAACCAAAGACAUAAACAUCCAAUGAAAUAUGAAAAACAAACUCCAAAUCAACUGUUCAUCUAGUUUCAGAUUGCGAUAACAAUCGAUCUCAGACAUUCGUCAUAGGAGCAUGUCAUAAAAAUCGAGAAAAAUCGGUCAAUCACAAGCAGCGAUGCAGGAUUCCCCGAAAAUUAAAAGAUCAUGUACAUGGAACAAUGAAUACUCCUUUUGCAAAUUCAUUAACCGAAUGGAUUCAGCCCUAUAAAUAAGAAGAGUAAUCCAACGAGUCGAAGCUAAAUCAUUUAGGAUCAACCUGUUCUCCUAUGAUUAUAACGCAGGGAUUCCAAAAACGAAUACAGUAUUUCAUAAUCAGUUCAGCUAUGUUAUUUGAGAGGAUCUGUUCCAAGAUACGUUAUUAUGAGAAUUGAAGAUUGGAAAGAGUGAGAGACCUGCGUAAUUGAGGGUGUAGGAUAAGCCGUUGCAGCCGCGAGCCUUGACUCCCAGCUUCAAGAAGGGCCUCUGACGCUGCUGUAGCAGCUGCCGUAUUCGCGAGGCGGCGGCGUCCGUUAGCGACACGGCUUGGCGUCGCGCCGCCGUCGCUAUCUUCUCCGCUGCCACGCUCAUCGCCUUGGAAGCCAUCGAAGAUAAACUAUCUCUGUCCCGUUGUUUUGGGAUAUUACAGCAUUUCCUCCUUUUCAGGUAUGGCGCGUGGCCGCCACGUUGUGGCUAUGCUGCUCGUAGAACGUUCCCCAAGAAACCUAUGUUAGGUGCUUCUGUGGCCUAAUCAUAACGCUCUGUUAGACCACGGCGGGUGAAGUUAUCAUGUCCCGAUCCAUUGCAUACGUGUGGCGUGUCUAUUUCCGGAAAUAAAAUUUUUUAUCCUUCACAAAAGGGUUUUUACAAAAGCAUUCAUACCAAAUGUCUACUUCAAUUUCAAAUGAUUGAAUAUGAUAUUAUUCAAAUUUUUUUGAUAAAAAAAUAUUCUAACUAAAAUAUCAAAUAUUAUUAAGACUAAUACCUAAUAAAAAAUAUAAAUGUAAAUUUAGAGUAUGAAUGUCAAUAUCAACUAUCAAGUUAUCACUAAUGUAUUGCAUCAUCAAUUUUCAUUAAAAAUUUGACAACAUACUAUUAGUUAAAAUCAUAAUUGUUUAGAAAAUAUACUCAUUAUUCCCUAAGAAAAAAUAAAUCCUAAAAUAUUUAUCAUCUUAAAUUUUUAAUGUAACAUUAAUUAUUAUUUUUCAUUUAUAUCCCAUAUAAUAUUAAUAGUAAGUAACAAAAAUUAUAAAUACAUUAAUAAUUAAUAAAAUUAAUUUUACAAAAUUAUUAUUUUCUUUUAUUAUUUUAUUAUUUUAAAUAAGUAUAAAAAAAUAGGACGACAAAUACUACAAGAUAAAAGGAGUGAAGAAAUUUAUGACAUUAGAUCAAAUUAACACAACUCAAAAUAUAACUUAAAUCCAUCGUGAAAAAUACACUAAACCUAAUUUAUUGAACUCAAAUUUGUCUCCUUUCGAACAAGCGGUUGAUGGAAUGGGAUGAAGAACACCUUUGUUUCCAAACUAAUUUGUAAGCAACUUUAAUCUCAUAAACCCUAACCAAGAAUAAAAGUUUAUGAAAUAAUUGAUUUUCAACUCUCCAUACAAAUUGGAUGCCGAAGAGAGAUUCUAAUAACAACAUGAUAAAGUGAAUAGAAUUGAUGGAAUUGAAUUAUAAAGUAUGAUUUGUGAUGCUUAUAUACGAAGUCAAACUAACUAACUAACUUCUCAUCAAAGCUAUCUAUUUUAACUAACAUAACAUAAUACUCAACUAACUUUUAUAGUCUCUAAUAUCCCCCUCCAGUUGGAGAAUAAAUGUCUAUGAUUUCCAACUUUCAAAUGAAAUUGGUGAAAGAGGAAGCAAGAAGAGGCUUGGUGAAUAUGUCAGUUAUUUGAUGUUGAGUCUUGAUAUAAAUUAACUUGAAGAUGUUUGACUGAACAAUUUCUCAAAUAAAGUGGCAAUCUAUGUCAAUGUGUUUUGAUCUCUCAUGAUGGGAAGGGUUGGAAGCCACAUGGAUUGCUGUUUUUUAUCACAAUACAACAUGGUCGAUCCAAUAUUAACUUCAAAAUGUCCUAGCAAAUGCUUAAGCCAUACAACUUCACUGGCCAUUGAUGAUAAUGCUUGAUAUUCAGAUUCAGCAGAGGACUUUGAGACAGUACCUUACUUCACAGACUUCAAUGAAAUCAGUGCAUCACCAAGAAAUACACAAAAUCCAGUUAUACACUUGCGAGUGUCUAAACAACUGCCCCUACAUCAAGCUGGCAAGUGUAAGGAAUUAUGAGCAGAAAAGAUAAAGCCUUGUCAUGGAGCAGAUUUGAGGUAUUGAAGCAAGUGGGAAACAACAGCCAAGUGAGUUGUCAAAGGGGUUGUCAUGUAUUGACUUAGCUUGUGCACUGCAAAAGUAAUGUCAGGCCCACGAAAUGGUCAAGUACAUGAGCCUACCAAUCAGCCUCCUAUGCAGAGAAGGAACAAGGAUUGGAUCACCAUUAGUCAAGGUCAAUUUUAGAUUUGGGUUCAUAAGUAGUUGUGUUGGCUUAUGUUGAUGGACUGACAAGUGCACAAAUUCGUCCCAAGUAGUAAAGUUAAAAUGAAAGUCCGAGUAUCGUAUCCAUAGAGACUUUAUUUUGUACUUAGGUAGAUAAAUAUUUAAUUAAGAAAAAAAAUUUGGAAAGGGUAGUAGAAAACGAUAAAUUAAAUUGUUGAAAAUUAAAUCAAACAAGAAAAUAAUUAAACAUUAAUUUAAAUUAAUUAAUUAAAGACAGAAAAGAUAAGAAAAUCCAAUAAUAUUGUAGAAGGAAAUUCAGAAGAUGAGAAUAUUGGAAACUUAGCCUACCAGAACUACUCCUUGAUGCAAUGUUAAUUAUUUCUCUCUAUUUAUGAUUAUUUAAAUUCACACAUGCAUCUACUAGUAUACUUUAACUUUGGUCUCCCGCACGAAAGAACUUAAUUUAUCAAUUUUCUCUCCCAAAUCCCUUUACAAAACUAAAAUAGUAAAUUACAUUAAGAAUAAAGAUGUAUAACAGGCUAAACAAAUACCAACAUAUCCAUAGUGAUGACUUUAUUUAGAUACAUUUUCUCAGUUCUAUUAGAAAAUAAUGUUUCCCAACACUAUCCUAAAACUUACCAUGCAAAUGGGUGAUUAAACCACAAACAAUAAUAUUAAAUACAAGAAAGGAUAAUGCAAAAGUAAUACUCAUGUAUAAAUAAGAAGAGAGAUUACAUCAAGGAUAGUUGGCUGUCAAGUUCCCAACAAAGGGAGUUUAGGCUCUCAUUAUCAUGGAGACUUUAAAAUUGUAAGAGGAGAAUAUUUAGUAAAUGGGGAAAAGAUAAGAAAGGGAAUUGAGUAAGAAUGACUAUGAUUGUUUGUUUUUCCUUCUUUUAGCCUUUGCCUUCUAUAAAAAAUUGUAUUCCUGUGUGUCUUCCCCUUCUUCUCUCUUCUUUUAUAGGUGCAAAUUAGUGAACUUUUGAAUUAGUCUAAUUUCCUUAAUUAAUAAUUCUUUCCUUAAUUAGCUUUUUUUUCUUAAUUAGCCAUUAUUUUCUCAAUUAGCUUGUUUUCCUUAAUUAGCUUGCUUUCCUUAAUUAUUCAUACAUUUCUAGGUUUUAUUUCCACCACUUUUAAUAUUCUAUGUACAAAAACUUAAAUGAUGUUAAUUUAAUAAUUAUUUGCUCAAAAAGAAAAAAUUAGAAGAGAAAAAUUACAAAUUUUUACAUAAUUUAACCUCAAAAUAUACUCAUAAUUAGCAGUUAUCAACUUACUACCAAGAUAUCUCGUAUCAUCUAGCAAUGAUAGUGUGUACUUUCUUUGAGAAGGUGAAAUUCCUUUACUAGAUUUGACAAUUCAAGGCCUAAGAAAUAUUUCAAAUAGCCCAAAACCUUUAACUUGAACAUGGAUUGUAACUUGGUUUGGACCUCAACAGCACAUGAAGAACUUGGACCAGCAAGUAUAAUGUUAUCAACAUAUACAAGGAGCACUACUAAUAAGGAUUCAAAGCCACAAGUGAAAAGAGAAUAAUUAUUUUUGGAUUGAAUGAAACCCUGUUGUAAUAGGGGUAGAAGAAAACUUGCAAAACCAUUGCCUGUAGGCUUGCCUAAGGCCAUACAAGGACUUAUUGAGUUUGCAUACAAGACCAAGAGUAGUGGUUUUGUAUCCUUGAGGCAAGUCCAUAUAAACUUCCUCAAACAAAUCUCAUUGAGGAAAACAUUGUUAAAAUCCAAUUGUUGUAAACACCAAUUCCUAGUUGUUGCUACUACUAGAAGCACUCUCAUUGAGGUAAGCUUGGCAACAGAUGAAAAAGUGUCUGAAAAACCUACAUCAACUUGUUGUGUGUAGCCUUUAGCUGCUAAUCGAGCUUUGUAUUUGUCCAUUGUUCCAUUAGGUUUAUAUUUGAGCUUGUAGAGCCAUCUACAGCCAAUAAUACAUUGUGAAGUAACAAUGUAGGUGAAAUGCGAACAAUACCAACUACAACAACGGGCACAAUAGUGCGAUUUGGCAAUGUGAUUGUCUUAUUGGGAAUUGUUUGAUAAGACUCCAAAUUUUUUAAGAAGCAAGCUACAUGAGUGCCAACACCUGAAUCUAUAAGCCAAACAUCUUUAAAGAGAUUAAAGGAAGAAGUAGCAUACAAUAUCAUACCAUUGGAAUCAUUUUCAUUUUGUUUGGCACCUGAGGAUAGACCUUACAAAAGAUGGAUUAGCUGCUGGUAUUGUUGUGUAGUAAGUUGAAACUAUGGUUGUCAGUCUUAAUUCACAUAACCCAUAGAAACUUGAUUCAUUGAGCCAGAAUUAGAGUGAUUUAUUGCUAUAGAAAAUGACUUGUUCAUCUUGUGAUUGGGUGGAUAACCAUUCAUCUUGUAGCAUUAAGCCUUGGUGUGACCUUGAAUGACACAAUGUGCCCAAAUGGGACGAUCUUUCUAAUUGGGUUUGUUCUUCGAAUCAGAACCUUGCUUCACAACAAAAGCAUGAGGAGUAGCAAAAGUAGUACCAAUUUCCUUAUGUUUUUCUUCUUGAACAACCAUAGAAAAAAUCUCGGUAAUGUAAGGAAAAGGAUCCAUAUAGAGGAUCUGACCCCGAAUCCAAGAGUAGGCUUCAUUAAGACCCAACGAGAAAUACAUAACAUACUCAAGUUGAGCAUACUCACACCAAGGUUUGAUUCUAGUGCAUGUGCAAGUAUGUGCAGACUUUAACUUUAACAGAGACUCCCAAACAUAUACACUCAUAAAACCUACUACCUUGUUAGAGAGAAACUAAAUCACGUUCAAUUGGAAAAUUAAAGGUCCAUUUUGCUGCCUAGAACGCUCCUUGAGAUAAUCCCAAAUUGCUUUUGCAAAAUAGCAAUGUAGAACACUAACUUGCAUUUCUUUUGAAAGAGACUUCAAAAGCCAAGAAGAAGCAACAAUGUUGUCAUUGCGAUGCCAAACAAUAUGAUUCGCAUGACCCAAAGCAGGUUUAACAAUAGAACCAUCAAUGAAACCAAAUUUGUUCUGGUCAAGAAGAGCUAUCUUCAUUGUCUUCUUGAAGAACUAUAAUUGUCAUCGGAAUAACAUAUGAGAAACCAACAUCAAACCAAGAUUGUCUGAAGGGUGAACAAAGAAAUAAUUGGCAUCAUCCAUCGCAAUAGCCAUGGGAGAAAACCAAAAGAAAAAAAAAACUUCAAUGAAGAAGAAAAAAGUGCUUUAAAAGGAAGCUAUAAAAAAUCAAAGAAUAUGUGGACGAUAAAUCCCAACUAAUAGCAUGAUAAAUUGAUAAAGUGAAUAGAAUUGAAUUACAAAGUAUAGUUUCUAGAACUUAUAUAGAAGGCUAAACUACCAUAGUACUCAACUAAUUUUUAUAUUCUCUAAUAUAAUAUUAACUAUAAUGUGCGGUAGUUAAAUAUAUUUCGAUGGUCAAUAAUUUCAAAUAUCAAAUCGUUUAAAAAAUUACAUUAUAUCAGUACAAAUGAUAUUUUUAACAAAUAAAUGCUCUAAUUACUUAAAAAGAAAAAAAAAAGAAGAAAAAGUAGAGAUAGGGAGAGGAUGUAGAAAUGAAAAUCCUCAUCAGCUGGCCGACUAGGGGUUUUCAAUUCCAAAGCUUUCUGUCCUGUCUGUAUAUGUUGUUGGCAUUGGCACACUCAUUCUCAUCGCACCGAAACAAAAACCUCCUUGCCCUUGCGGACCAUUUUCAUUUUUCAUUUUUGAAUUAUCAACAAAAAAAGACACCUCAAAAUGAAGCACAAACACUUUUUGUAAGAAAACAAAAACAACAGCAAAUUCCACUGUUCGUUUUCACCACUCAAAUGCUACUACUCUCACUUGCUCACAAAACAAAACCCCUUCAAUUUUCUCAGGUCCUCUCUUCCUCUCAUCUCCGUAAUAAUGUUACAGCUUUCAUCUUCACAUUAACUUUCUCAAUAUUUGUUGUGUUUUUUAAUUAACUAUAUCAUUUACUGAUUCUCCCUUUAGAUUCACUUACUGUGUUAUGCACCUACACUCUACCAUAGUACAGUUCCUUAAUUAUUUAUCACUUGCCCUAAUAUUUCGGCCACUAUUUAAUUAUUCAUUUUUUAUUUUCCACGAACAGGUAUAGGAAGAAACAAUUCCAAGCGAAUUGCAACUUUCACGAACUGAAUUUGUUUCUGUUAAUUUUUUCGCGUAUUUGUGAGAAGCUACGAAUUUUGAUACCGUGAAAAUGGCGACAUGUUAUACACCUUCGAAUGUUAGAAAUUCGCCGGGGGUGCUGGCUGUAGUUGGAGGAAGAACAAUUUCAGAGAAUCACGUAGGUAACAGAUCAUGCUUCCUGAGAAUUCAAGAGAGCAAGACCGUGUUUGGCAGCAAUCGAAAGUGUGGUUCAUUUCAAGUGAAGUGUUCUGCGAUCAGUCGCAAGGAUCCUUUUCUGGAUCUGCACCCUGAGGUUUCAAUGCUCAGAGGAGAAGGAGGGAGUGCAUUGAACAGCCCUAGACCUAGAAAGGAUGUAUCAGGUGGAAACGUGGCCGAAAGUUUGGAAGCCACGACAACUCCGAGUAACUACAAUGAAGCUAAGAUCAAAGUCAUUGGUGUGGGUGGAGGCGGGUCAAAUGCGGUCAACCGCAUGAUAGAGAGCUCCAUGAAUGGUGUGGAGUUCUGGAUUGUUAAUACCGAUGUUCAAGCCAUGAGGAUGUCGCCAGUCAUUCCUCAUAACCGGUUGCAAAUCGGCCAGGAGCUUACACGAGGACUUGGCGCUGGUGGUAACCCUGAGAUUGGCAUGAAUGCUGCCAAGGAAAGCAAGGAAUCGAUACAGGAGGCAGUUUAUGGAGCUGAUAUGGUCUUUGUUACAGUAUGUUCAACUGACCCCUUUUCUUUAGUUAUAGCUUAUGCUAAUUGCAUUAUGAAUUUUGUUUUAGUGCAUGUGUCUCUAUUGUAAUACCAAUAUAUAUAUAUAUAUAUAUAUAAGGAGGAUAAUUAUUUGGACAUAUAUAAAAUUCUAGUAUUUAUUGUUUUGAAUUUUGAAUAUUAAUUAAUGCCUAUUAGAAAUGAGGAACCAGCAAUUCAUGAUCUUUGAAAUCCUCAAUUAUGUAAAUUUUUCAAAAUUGGGAUUAGGCACACUUGCAGUUGUACUGAACUUUUCAUUAUUGCUAUAUUUCAUUAAACUUGAAAAAUGAGAACUCAUUUGUGCAGGCUGGAAUGGGUGGAGGAACUGGCACUGGAGGAGCUCCAGUUAUUGCAGGUAUCACAAAGUCAAUGGGUAUACUGACUGUUGGUAUUGUCACAACCCCUUUUUCAUUUGAAGGGCGAAGAAGGGCAGUUCAAGCACAAGAAGGAAUUGCUGCAUUAAGAGAUAAUGUUGAUACACUGAUAGUUAUUCCAAAUGACAAACUGCUGACUGCAGUUUCUCAAUCUACCCCUGUAACUGAAGCAUUCAAUCUGGCUGAUGAUAUUCUUAGACAAGGUGUUCGUGGUAUAUCUGAUAUUAUUACGGUAUGGAAUCAUGAAGAUCUUUGAACAUUAACCAAUACCUUCCUGCUUUUGCUUUGCUCUUUUUUUUUAUCUCCAUCAAAUCUUGAUUGUUAAAGGAGUAAAAAGGAAAGAAAGAAUGAAAAGGAAACCUUGAGUAUGUUUUGACAAUUCAGUAGUCCCUACCUGAUUCACUAAGUUGUUUGAUAUGUUGGUUCAAAGUUAUGCCUUACCAUUAGUUUAUUUGCUAGAAUUCAAUAUAGUUUUUUGUUAUCAAAUAUGGAUGCAUGUGGGCAAAAUAUACUCUUGCCAUCCCACUAAUAAGAUGUCCUGAUUAUAUGUUUCCCAUGGUUUAAAAUUGGUGGUGUCUGUCUGUACUCUGUAGAAUCAUUUAUGCUCAUUUAUUUUGUAAUUGAUUUCAGAUACCAGGAUUGGUGAAUGUAGACUUUGCAGAUGUUCGAGCUAUAAUGGCCAAUGCAGGUUCUUCACUUAUGGGGAUAGGAACUGCAACUGGUAUGUAUGGGAACUGCAGAUGGAGAUGCAUUACUGGUUCUGGAUUCUGAUCUUCUAUUUGACCUAAAUAACUAGCAACUUUUCCAUACAUUCUACAGUUAUUUCUAAAUUAAGUAAAUUUUAAAAUAUGAAUAUGCACAAAUAUAAAUGAGGAGAUAAAAAUAUAAUUAUUGUUAAAUGUUAAACAAUGUUGAAUUCAGGUAUUGUAAGAAAGAAAAGUAUAAUAAAUGUCUUGACUAUCAAUAAUUAGAAUUCUAUUUUAAUAGAUAGGAAUAAAUUAAAGAGAUAAGACUUUUGAAAUUAAUGAGAUUAUGAAAAUAAAUUAUUUGAAUCAAUACUCGUCAAUAUAUGUGUAAAGGAGGAGAGGGUUGUGUUAGGCCCUUGGUGGCCAACGUAAAACUCAUUGAUAUACCAUACAAUCAAUACACAUAAUCUCAUUGUAUAUUAAUUUUGUAUGAUUUGUCAAAAUUUAAAAUUCAUAUUCAAUUUAGGAAUGACUAAAUUUUAAAAAAAUAGUAUUUCAGAGGGAUAAAAAAUAUUAAAAAAUAUGAGAUACUUAAUCUAGAAGAAGUCAUGUCUCACAUGGCUUACUGAGAAAGAGUGUAGGUCCUAAAAGUCUUCUUGUUCUAGAGCAAGUACUCAAAUUUAAUGGCAAUGGAUUGCUAUUAAACCUCUGGUUUGCUUACUGAAAACAAUAUAAUAUCUGUAGGGUAUUGUGAUACUUGAGCUAUAUAUGCAGAGUAUUGUAAAUAUUACCUUACCAUAAGAAGCACAUGUCUAUAACUAUAAGGGAAUGAUUAUUCGACCAAAGUUUUUUUAGAGGCUUAGCUGGCAUUGCCUUGCAAAUUGAAAGUAUUCCUUUAUAUUGCAAAAAAAAAAAAAGGCAAUUUGAAGAUUAGAAAUGCCACACUUUAAAAUUCUGGAGAAGCACACACAUUGAUGUUGAACAUACUUUAAUGAUCCUCAACAAUAAAAGUUUACCCCUUUACUCCACUUUCAGUUAGCUGAUUAAUUAUUAAAAUAUAAAUUAAUUAUCCUCUGAUUGGCAUACUCUGUUUUUAUGGGAAGAGAGGAGGGUCAGAAUUGAUGAGCAUAUUCUGACCCAUGUUUGCAUAUAUUAUUGAAAAUUUGAAAUUUAUCUUCUGGCUUCUUUUUAUAUUGAAGGCAAAACAAGGGCAAGAGACGCUGCAUUAAAUGCUAUCCAGUCACCUUUACUAGAUAUUGGUAUAGAAAGGGCUACCGGAAUUGUAUGGAACAUAACUGGUGGAAGUGAUUUGACCUUGUUUGAGGUAGCUAGCUAUCCCUCUGUCCCUUUUACUAAUUUUAACUUUGCUAGAUAUUUGUUUCAUCUGUAACACUUUCUUACAUGAUUGUGAUGAUUGUGAAUUGUAUCAGUUUUUCAUGGAUAUGAUAUUUAGGCAAGGGUAAAAAAUUUGAGGCUUAUAAAAAUAUUUGUACAAAACUUUCUCUUCCAUCUAGUAAUCCGGUUACUAUAAUUCUGUAUUGAUAUUUUUCUGGUAAGCUAUUUGUAAGCUUGGUUUUUGAAGCAAUCCAUUCAGUGAGCAAAGAAAUAAAAUAAACUAGCCUUCAUUUCUGGAUUCUAAAUAGCUACCUAUUUAACUAUCUGUAAUCUAUUAUAUUCAUCAUACUCAUUCUAUUUAAUAUGGUCCUUUUUAUGCUAUGGCUUCUAAUACUAUAAUUUACAGGUAAAUGCUGCAGCAGAAGUUAUAUAUGACCUUGUGGACCCCACUGCUAAUUUAAUAUUUGGAGCAGUAAUAGAUCCAUCACUCAGUGGUCAAGUAAGUUAGGCUAUGCAAACCUCUUCAAUUUUACUUUUAUAGUUUUCCCCCCUUAUAAAUUACACUUCUUUUUCCUUCAAAUAUGCUUAAAUUACAAUGUUCUCUCAUUUAAUUUGUUAGAAUAUAUGAAAAUAUCUAAAAAUGUUUUAUCUUAUCUUAAAUUUUCUUCUUAGUUUCCUUAUUUUCUCAUUCUCUCUUAGGAUUAGUCACUUUUUUUUCCUUAUCAUAAUUUGUUUUCUUAAUUAUUUAGGAAUUAGGAUUAUGAUUAGUAUAAAACUAUAAAUAUUAGGGUUAGUAGUCUAGGUUUUAUGAAUAUAUCAAAUACAUCAAUACAUUCUAAUACAUUUCAGUUAAUAUCAACUAGUAUUCAUUCUUUUUUAUCUCUCUUCCUCCUUCUAUACCUAAAAUUCCAUAAUUCAAACAUAGUUUUUAAAACUACACUUUCCUCUCUUGAGAGAUGAAAUGUGCUACAUUUUUUAGUCUAUUUUAAUGUAAACAGACCUACUGGUAGUGGUGAACCACUAUGAAUGAGCUUCCUAGAGACAUUUGUCCUUUCUUUUACAACUUUCAAUGUUACCGAAAGUUAAUUUUGAGCAUCCUAUUGUUAAUUUAAGACUUCAGAGGAUGAAAUAAAAUUUCAAGUUAAGCUCUCUCCUAUCUGCUUUUGAACUUAAAACAUUGAUUCCCUCUUUUAAGAUUUAUGCUUUUAUGUUAAUUUUAUUCUACAUGUUUUUUCAUAGUCAUGUGUCCUAUAAUUUUUUUAAUUUGUCAUGUAACUUGGUUUCAUAUAGGUAAGCAUCACAUUAAUUGCAACUGGAUUCAAGCGUCAAGAGGAAAGUGAAGGGAGACCUAUACAGGUAUGACUUACUACCCCCUCUUUCCUUUGUGUGCCAAUCAGCCGCCCCUAGUCCGGGUCCCUCCUCCUCUCUCUGAUGCAAUACCCAUGAUUCUGCUUUUUGUUCAAAAUGCAGGCCAGCCAAUUUACACAAGGAGAUACGGUUGGUAUCAACCGGCGAUCUUCCUCUUUCACUGAUGGUAGCUUUGUUGAGAUCCCUGAAUUCUUAAAGAAGAAGGGGCGCUCACGUUAUCCGAGAGCUUAAUACUCUUCUCCCCAAUUUCUUAAUCCCUUGAUUUCUUUACAAAGUAAUUUUUAGGGAUACAAAUCUCAUCAGUCUAGGUAUUAGAUCCCGUUUUGCCCCUUUUUUUUUUCAUUUUUAGGUUCGCAUUGGGCAUACUGUUGUUCAAGAAAGCAAAGUACUUUCAAAACCGUUGUUUACUGAGUCGAGGCUUGUUGGCAGGUUUUAAUAAGUUUAUUAGCUUGUAUUUUUUGUACAGAGAAUAUAUCAGUAAUGGUCAGGGCUUGUUAUAGAUAUUUGGCUUGUUAGCGUUACCAUCAAAUCAAGAUUAUGACAACCGCAAACCUAGUCAACCACAGGAUUUAAAGUAAAUUAAAAAUCUUGUACAUGACUGUUUCUUGGUUUCAAGGUAAAACCAAUAAUUCCAGUUAAAAAAAAAAAGUAAAACCAUAACGUUUCAACAUUCUCACAAGCCAGGUGAAACUGCCCCCAGACUUCCUAAUCUUACCUACCCAUGUGGGUCUCCGCAAUAAAAUUUUACGUCUUUGUUGUUCAGAGUAAUGAUAUAUUUCUCUAUAAUUUUUUUCUUACAAAUUUUUCUAAUAUUUUUUUUUGUAUUAAAAUGGUGUAAAUACAUGGAAUAUUUUGGAAAUUUUGUGAAGCAUUUAACACUAUUUUGGUUCGCCAAAAAAGUAAUCCCCACUAAUCAAAUUAAAUAAUAAUAAAAUUAUUAUUUAACUGUCAAAAUAGACGUAAGAAUUAAAACUUAGGAUUGAAAGUGUUUGAUGGAACACUUCAAAGGAUGAUACAAAUAAAAUGCUUAUAAUUCAAUCCACAGUUAUGCAUAUAUGUUUACAUAGAUGAGUGAUAAAAAUCUGAAAUCCAAGGUAUCAAAUAAAAAAAAUUAGGUUCUAAAAAAAAUUAGGCUGCAUCCUAUCAUCACGUCGGCCGAACACUUUCAAAGUGCAAUUUCUCUAGCUGUCGUGCGUGAUCACGUUUAAUGACUUAAAAUUAUGUUGAAAUAUAAUUAAUAUGAUUUUAGAUAAAUAUUCAAAUACUUACUUUCAUAUUAAGGAAUUGAUUAUGGAUCUAAAACUAAUUUUGAGUUGAAAUAAUUUUAAAAGAAAUACAUUGACUAAAAAAAUUAUAUUAUCAAAUUUUAAAUAUAAAUUAUUUUACUUUCGUAUCCAGGGGCCUAACAAAAACACACCCAUGUGAUUGGAAGGAUAAGGAAGGUCCACACUUUCGUAUCAACUGAGUGACAAUUAACCAAAAAAAAAACCUGAGUGGCAGAGGAACUUGAUCGGUUGAUCCACUUGUCAGUCUCAGUUUCCACGAUCUCAAUUAUUUGAAGCAUUAAUGUUGUACCUCCUAAAAUAAGUACUAAACUAGGUAGGAGAAAUUUGCUCACAUGAAUAGUGAUUCCUACAAUAGUGUAGAGAAAAGAUAGCUUAGGGGAUGUGCAUGGCGUGGCGAAUGGAGUUGAUGGAGGAGUGAAAGGAUGCUUGGUUUCUCCAUAAGCUAGCAACCUUCACAUCGUUUGUUUUCUGAUUGUUAGAACACCACCCUCGAAUUCAUUAAGUAUUUGAUAUGGUUUUAUUAAAAAGUAUUUUUUCCUUCAAUUUAUUAAACUUAUAUUAUGAAAUAAGUAUUUGUGUAAGUGCUUCGGAGAGGUUUCAAAAAUAGCUUUGAUAUGUUCAUAAGCUACUUUUAACUUAUUUUAAAUAACAUAUGAAAACAACUUAUAUGUAAUAUAAAAAUAGUUUAACCUAUUUCAUCUUCGAUUAUAUAAAAAAAAAUUAUACAUAUAUCAUAUGUAAUCCUUCAAUAAUCGUUUGAUUAAGUUGUUUAUUGUUUAUUCAAUCUAAUCCUAAAGCUUAAAUCACUACAAUAAAUGGCAUGGCAUGACAUUACAAAAAUUAUUGGAUAAAGUGUAAAUAGUAUAUGCAUUAACAUUGUUUAGGAUUUUUUUAGUGUUAUUCAGUAACUAUGAUAAAUUUAUUGGCAUUUACAAUAAUUAUUUUAAAACAAUAAUUUUUAAUUGAUUAAUUAUGCAAAUUAAUUUAAUUUUUACUAGAAAAAAAAACUCUCAAAAUGAAUUUAUAAAUGUUGAUUUAAUUUUUAUGUAUUAUUGGUAUAAAGAUUUUUAAACUAUCAACUAAUUUUUUUCUCAACUUGCUUUCAACCUUCGUCCUCAUGUUUAAGAUGGAUUUGUCACUCCAAGAAAUUUCAAAAUUUGAAUAUAAAUCCGAAGGAGGGAAUUCUUAAUUUUAGUUUAUUAGUUGGGUUGGUUGAUUUCAGUGGAUGGGAAUGUUGUUGGCUUGAUAUGUAAUUUUCUUUUUGUUGGAUCCUUAGAUAUUGUUUUAUUUUAUUCAAUAACUUGAUAUUAUAGGCGUGUACGUUAAACUUUUUUUAUAUAUAUAAUAUUCAUACCCUGUCCUAUAUAUAAAUACACUAAUGAAAAGACACAUGUACCUACAUCUCCAAUUUCAUAAUUGAGAUGAAGGACGAGUUUGAUGCAUGUUACUAAGUUAGAUAAUAAAAGUAAAACAACGCGGUAUGGGUAGCUGAAAGUACAAUAAAGCCUAUUAUUACCGUACAAAAAAUGGCUUUUAGUUUGUCAGUUAUUUGACAGUUAAUGUAUAUAAAUAGUUUUGAAGGAGAAAAAGGAAAGAAAUUAUAACACGGGGUUAAGGUAGAGAAUGGGACUUGGGGGAAAAAAUGGUUUAUUAUAAAUAUAUAUCCAUUUACUUUUAUUUACUUGUUUAUUAUUACAUUAUUUAUCAUGCCAAUUUUUUUUUUCUGUUUAUCUCUCUUUCUUUCACCUUAUUCUAUUCUAAAACCAUCCCAGUUUAGUAUUAUCCAAUAAUUAUUUAUGAGAAGAUUAAAGAAUUUGUGUAUUUUUUUUCCAGUAAUGAUAUGCUUAGUAUGAAAAUGUUUAAUAUGAAACCUGACAAAGAAUUUGCAAUUAAUGGACUACAGUAUGGGAAUUAUCUUCUAUUUCCCCUCCCCGUAAAAAAAAUCCAGAAUUUGCAAUAUUAGUCUUAAUCGUCUAAAUUUGUAACUAAUUAUCUGUAGUACUGUAUUCAAUAGUAAUCUUGAUCUUCGCCUCCACAGAACAACAAAAUAGUAGUGAUCUUUAUUUUUUUUUAACACGUUUUGUGGGGGAGUAAAAGAUAUUUUUCUAAUUUAUUCAAGUAAUAAUUUUUUAGACUUGUAUUUCGUGUUUCAUUAUUUAUUUUAUUUUCUUCCAUAACAUAAUCAUUUUUAAACUUGACUAUAAACUAAAUAUUGUUUGUGUUAUCAAGACCUCACAAUAAUAUUCUCCUAAGGAAAAAAGAAAAGAAAAAAAAAACACAAAUAUCUUUUCUGGCAUCUCAAGAGCACCUGUCUCAUCAAAACACGUCACAACAGUAUUUGUUGGAUUGAAAAAUGAUGAAAAAAAUAAUAAUACGUUGUUAAGAGAAAAAGGAGUGAAAAACUUAUAAAUAAAAUCGAAUAAUCCAACCUCAUUGGUUGAAAGCCAAGAAUCACACACUUAGGCAUGCAUUGCAUAUCAACGUCAACCUCACAAUCCUCCAAAAAUCAAUCCAAGGAAUCCCCCAAGGCCUUUCCCCCUUCCAUCCCAGUCUCUUUUUUUUUUUUGUCACCAUGUUAAUUAUCUAUCAAAAAAACUUGAUAGAAUAUUUUUAAUAGUGUUUUUUUUUCUAAUUAUAUGUUUUUGCAUACACAAAACUUAAUUUUGAGAUGUUAUUUAAGAAAUUCAAACUUCUUUUUUUUCUCAAAGUAAAAUAUCUCCGUAAUCAAAAGUUAUAAAGCUAACCUUAAGAGAAAAACCAUUUGUUGGUGCAGUCUCUUUUCUUUUCUUUUUCUUUUCAUUCCAUUUUGGCAUGCAUUAACAUUAAUUAAUAGUUCGGGAGUGGGAAGUAAUAAACCACACAAAUAGAAUCCUAUCUGAAACAAGACACGUACGUUUGUCACUUACCAUAGAAAAGAAACUCUUGUGGGCGACGUGUAAACUAAAUUUCCACCCACUUCAUCUUUGCUUUAUUCCUCACACAAACAAACCCCAUUUUCAAAUCUUCUCUCUUCUACACAAUAACAUCAACAAGGAUUGCAGCACACACAAACAAAUACUCUCUCUCUCUCUCUGCAUGAGAAGAUAACAAACAAAACACCUCAUUCUUCAUGGCUCACCAAUCCUCUUCUUCUGAAUCUGAUGACCAUAUUCCUUCUCAUCAUCACCCAUUGGACCUAAACAGUCCCCAUCCUUCUAAAGAUAUCAUCUUCGACGACAACAUGGAGCUACAACAGCACCAACAAGAAGAAGAGAGCAACAUUAACAACCAUGAAUAUGAUGGAGAUAAUAAUAGAGAUAAAGAUGAUAAGGAUGAUGUUACUACUACACAAAACCCAUCUGCAGCUUCAGAAACCAACGAGGAGAAAAUUGCAUUACAAGAAGAGGCUUCAGAUGAUGUUGUUGUUGAAGCAGAAGAAAAAGAAGAGGAUAGUGGACGAGAGAGGCUGAAUCGGCAUAGAGUUGAAGUGGCAGGGAGGGUAUGGAUUCCAGAGAUAUGGGGUCAGGAGGAGCUAUUGAAGGAUUGGAUAGAUUGCAGUGCAUUUGAUGCUCCUUUAGUUCCAAGCAGAAUCUCCACUGCACGAAAGGCUUUGGUUGAAGAGUGUACAAGAGCCAAUGCUGCUGGACUAAUAAUAGAGAACAGGUGUUAGAAUUUUUUUCUCAUUUCUUCUGUAAUUCCAUUCACUUUAACGACAACCAUUUAUAUAAUCCGAUUAGUUUCUUUUUUUUGUGGAUGAGAAUUUCAUUUUCGUUAUGGAUGUGUUUGAAAGUUUAACCAACACUUUGGAAGUUAAAAUUUGUAAAAUAUCAAGUUCUUUAUAUUUUUUUAUUCACUGAUUAUGCUUUCAGUUUCAGCACUUGCAUUUUGUUCUUCCGAGAAAAAAAAUAAGUCAUUAGUUCAAGCAAUUUCCCAAAUGAUCUCUCGCUCGGUUCAAGCAAACCUUUAAAAUGUCUGAAUUGAAGUUUCCAAUGCUUGAGAAGGCAACAUGUAUAAUGUAGAUAACUUUCGGCUAGCCUUUGACAAAUAAUUAUCAGUGUUUUUUCAGGGAAAAGACAGUUUCGUAUAGUUCGGAUUAAAAGAUGCAUCGUAUUUUGUGGUGAGUAACCAAUUCUAACUUGAGCAUACUUAAAUUGCAACAAAUGCCAACCCAUUUUUAUUCACGAAAAUAGAAGAUAUGAUCUGAGUACAUUUGUUUAAUCUAAUCAAGAUUCACCAAUGCUAUACUUCGAAUUGUAGAGUCGGUUAUCAAAUUUUCAAGUAGAGUAAUAUUUGUUUGUCAAAAAGCGAAGGAAUCAUUCGCAUUUAAACCUUAAUGUACAUCUAAUGUACAUACAACUUGAUAGAUCUCGAUAUUAUAAUUUAUUAUGCUCAUUUCUUAUACACUAGUCCUCUCUGUGCAGUAUAUAUUGGCCUUUACAAAUGGCUUGCCGGGGGUAUACUAGUGAAAAUGCGAUAUCUACUGCUAGCAAAAUUUAGAGAAAGAAAAAGGAAAGAGUCAUUAUCAUUCACUGAUUCUAAAUAUCUUGUAGAGAACUAGCUUUGCGACCCAUCAGGAAAUUUUGGGCACGGGGGUGCCCAAUUAGAUUACCUAUUCUAAUCCAUUCUGACAACAAGUUGCCACACAGUGAUUAGUGAGUAAUAUCCUUCUUUUUCAUUCUCUAUCACUACAACUCACUGAAGCAAAGCAUACUUACGAUACUAGUUCACCUUAGGAUAAGUAAUUUAUGAGCCAUUCUUGAGCAAAAAUGUAAAGUUUAGUUGUGACAGUAAUUACAAUUUACAGUCACACUACUGACUCCCCUAAAAAAAUAUAAUAUUCAAUGUCUGUUGUAAAAUUUUAGUAAAUAUAACUAAGAAAAGAAAAAUAGCUAUGAGGAUGCCUGCACAUCUAGCACUUCUAUUAGGCUCCUCCAGUAUAAAAUAUCUGCUACUCAUACAGCAAAUGUGGAAAACUAGUAUGAUGUCAACUCCCACACCUUGAUUGUCCCAUCAUCGCUUGCAGAGGCUAGUACCGGCUUCUCCUGUUUAGUAAAUAACACUGUUACAAAUUGCAGAGACAGACGCAGGAAGCAAAAAACAAUGCUGAUAUAGGUCACCAUUCUCCAAAUAUGUAAGGGAUUGUUUGAUUUAACAAAAUUAUGUUUUUAUUUUCUGUUUACUUUUAAUUACAAAAUUGCUUUCUUGUUUGUACUUUGAUUCUUGAUUUCAAAGAUUAGUAUAAGAAACAGUGAAAACAAUAAAAAGUUAUUUUUUCUGUUUCCUAUACAAAUCUUAAAAAACUGGAAACAAAAUGAAAACAAAGUAGUAUUCAUAAUUAAAAGGGAAAACAGAAAACAUUUUCUCAAAUCAAAAGACCCUAAAGUUUUUGUAACCUAUUAAGCUGUAAUUAGCAAACUUCAAAUUUUGUGAUUCUUAUAACACUAAUGAAAACUUGUACGGUCGUUCAUAAUGCAAAGUCUGCCAAUGACUGUCAGUUAAACACAUCACUAGUCAACUAAUCACAAUUACUUUUAUUGAUCAGGUAUAAGUUAUCUGAAUGAACUUUAUGAGGUCAUUAUUCAGUCUCAGACACAAUAAGCUAAGAGAGCAUUAUCUAAUUUAGCAGGGAAAUCCACCAUUCCACCCACUCGAUGUUUGUGGAAAGAGAUACUCAUUUCAUUAUCAAUGUGAUUCAAUUAAAGUAGUUUCUGAGAAUCUUACCCCAGGGCUCCACUGCACAGAAUUUAUAUCCAUGUCAUGGGCCUUCUCCUUCUUCAGCAGCAACUUGUAGAGAGGACCACCAACCUAUGUUAGAAGAAAGCAAUAAAAUUUUCUCAAUUUUAACCUCUUUUUUCUAGAUAGUGAAAUGCAUCUACAAUCUGCGAAGAUACAAAAUCGAUCAUUUAAAAAAUAUUUUUGUUCAAUUUUGAUCAUUAUUUUACAACAAAAUCAUACAAUCUUAUAGUAGUUUGAAUUUUUCAGGGACUUGGAUUUCAAUGUACAUAUGGAUUUAUCCCUUAAUAACAACUGCACAAAUGUAGAGGUCCAAAACACCUGCACAUUUUCAGACACCGAGAAGAGCACCAAAACAAAAGGAUCUGAUGCAAGUCCAAAAACACACGAAGAAAAUGUGCAGGUGAUCCAGCUCGUCAGUAAACUUGAACAGUAAUGCAAAUAUGCAAGAAUAUUAUGCUCAUCUCUUCAAAAUAAAACAGAGUUCAAUAAAAACUCGAAGCAAAUGAAUAAAGUUGCAAAUACAGUUCAUAUUACUGUUUGACUAAGUGUUCUCUGCAUUUCAGUUGUAAAUAAAGAAAUAUCUGGCCUUGGUUUGUCAAGUCUUUUGCUACUCUUGUCCUUGUUAUCAAGUACAAAGAGAUCAAGAAUUCCAGCUUAUUGAUAUUCACAAAUAGCCAAUAGAAUUAUUGAAUCACAAAGUGUCAGUGAUUUAAAGUGAUUGAUUUUACACCGGAAAAGGAAACUAGUAGUGGGCACACAAAGAAUCUGAUGCUUCUCCUUUCUGCAAACUCUUUCUAUACUAUAGACUGAACAUACAAGGAUAAAAUAUCUAUAUGCUCCCACUGGCAUCCCUAGAGUUAAAGUUACAUGCAUGCCAAAUAAUUACACUUGUUCUCCUCACCAGUACUCAAAACUCAAAAGAAGGGGGAAAAGGGGGUCUUAAGGUGAGGGAGCAGCAGCCUAUGACGUCACUGGGGUUGAUGAGCAAAUUUUCUGGUCAUAAAACCCGAAAAUUCACAGCAUAGGUUAGCUGGACAUUUAAACUUUAAAGCAAGUAAAGCAUAUGCAAUAUAUUGUACAUCCACAACUUAGUAAUUGUUAUUCUCUUAAUUAGAAUUAGGAUACCCAGCAGCUGUAACUUUGUAACUGUAGUCGUCUCCUUAAUUAGGCUACCCAACUGUAGGAUAAAUGUAUAUAUAGCAGUUCAGCUAAUUAUUGGGCUGAAAAUCAUAUUGUAUUGUGUGUGUGUGUGAGAGAGAGAGACAGAGAGAGAAUUCUUAUUUCUCCAGCAGGAGAACACAGUUUUUGCCCUACACUUUUCUGAAUUUGGCAUAUGAAUAUAUUCGGUUAACAUUCUCAGCUGCAGAUUCUAUAAUAUUCAAUUAAUGAACAACUAGUACCAAGCAUAAAUCGCCUGUUUUUUGAGUGAUUACACACUACAUCCUGACAAGAUAAUUUAUCUAUUAGUCAAUAGGCCCACAUAUUACAUUUAGAAUGGUCAUAAGGUGGCAUUUGAACUACUUCUGCUAGUGGAUAAUUGCAGUAAUAAAAAAUUGCCAUACCUGACUUUCAUUGUCAUCCACAAAAAGCCGUAUAGCAUUAUCUGCGGCUCCACUGGCAAAGAUACCUUCUCUGUCAUAUCAGCACAGUGAAGGAUACAGAAAUAUCAGAUUUAUGUAAACAAAAGUUAAAUAAGAUAGGAUACAUCUCACAUCUGAUAUCAUGAUGACAAUCAUGAAGUGAACGAGUCAUUAUCUUAAUGUUGCUUUCAAUAAACGAAAAAGGAAAGAAAAAAAGAAGUAAUGAACUAAUGAUUGAAUCCACAGAAUGCUGUGAAAAUCAAAAAAUGACAUUUAAAUAUUUCAAAACAUCUGUGACUUGGAGCGAAAGAGGGUAACCCAUCCACAAUACAUGAAUAAAGUCAGCACACAUCCGAAAUAUGGAUGUUGGUUGAUUUACUCGAUAACAUAAUAUCUCACAUUUAUUCCAUUAUAAAGUUAUAAUCUUACUUAAUUUGACAUCCUUAACAGCAGGAAUAGGCAUAGAUAAAAAUGAUGACAAUUGACUUCUCAAAGCCAUACAUACAUAUGAAAUUGUGAUAACCAAACAGCAAGCAGGUUAAAUAUGUUUACGUAAAUGCCAAGUGAGAUGCAAAUUUCAUUUUACCUUGACCAAUGAACUGAGAAUAUUGUCCGAUCAUGAUACCCUGAAAGAGUGCAAAGAUGUGUCCUGAAAUUCCAAGAAGAAAAUAAACAAUUUUAUAAUAUCUGGAAAGUAAAGGAUUAAUAAUUAAAACAUGCAUUAAAAAUUAAAUGAUCUAUCCCUAAUUUUUUUAGAAGUUUUAUAGUGAAUAAUAGAUUAUUAACGCAAACCUAUGUAAUUGAUUUCAUAAUAAUUGAAAGAAACCAACAAUGGCAUUUCAAUCUAUUCCAAACCAACAACAAAGCGCAGUUAAAUCAGAAUAUUAAAUGUCAUCAAAGGAUCCUCCAUCGAAUCAAGUAUUUUAAUACAUAGUUGAGUUUAAGAUAAGAUGACUUGGGAAAUGUGAGACAACAGCAAGCAAACAAUGGGACAUGAUUUAGAGAUCGUAGUUAUCAAAUCUCAAGAGCAUCCCGUAGCGGCUAACUCUAAAAAUGCUACACCAGGAUAACAGGAUGGACACUAUAUUAAAUAAUAUCAUACAAAUUGAAUAGUUUAUUCUACACAUAUAAAUCCUCAACAACAAGAAAAUCUAAAAUUAAAGAAAUUCAUGAUAAAUAAUAAGAGUCACACUUUACCAUAGACUAGAGAUUAGAGAAGAGGUCACUCCUAAAAGCCAAGAUGUUAAGAAAGGAGAAAAUUAAAUAUUACUUUAAAGAGUAUACAAAAAUUCAAACAAAAUCUGGUUAUAUAUAUAUAUAUAUACACACAUACUUAUAUAAGUUAUAUUGCUCUACUCUAGACGGCUAAAAUGUUACUGGUUGCAUCAUAAUACACUAUCAUAUUCACGAGACUGUCCAUAUGUUUUAUCCCAAAAGAUAGGUCCUCUGCCACAUUACAGGACUAUUCCUAAAGGAAAACCAGUUUCAGGAUUACAAAGCAAUAACCCAUAAUAAUAGCAUGUGCAUAAAUGUGUAUGGUUUACAUCAAAUAGCUUCCUAUUAAAUAUAUGAAACGUUAAAUACAUAUUCUAGUACUCUGUGCCAGAGGGGAAAAAGCUAGUGUAAAAAAGGGGCAAACAAAAGAAACUUGUGUAAUACUAACCAAGGUGCAAAUCCACCACCAGAUUGCGUCCCUACACUUUCUGUUUCCCAUACCUUCAGUGUAAGAUCAUCACUGCCAUAAGGGAUUGGCAUCAAAAUGCUGCAGAAGCUCAAAAAAAUGCCAAAACAACUAGAGGUGUGAACAAAAAGAAAUGUUCCACAUACCUACACGUAACCAUUUUGUCACCACUCACAUUGAAGGAGAGGGCCCAAACAGUGGAAGUAUGACCGCUGACAAAUUAACACCAUUAUACAUGAAUUAAUUAACAUUAACAUUGGUUUGAAAAAAUGGUCAUCCUACAUAGACUAGUGUAAAACAUAUUCCAUAAAAUAUGGAAAAAGCAAUCAUGGCUAAAAGAGAAGAAAACCAAGAAGCUUCAAAAUUGGAGGUGAUGGGAGAGGUCGAGAAGUAGUACUUAUUGGGUUCCCCAAGCGUUUGAACACACUGCCAAUCAUCACUAUCACCUUCAUCCGCCCAAACCUGGAAGAAAAUUCAUUGCAUUAUAAAACUAUUAAUCAUAACACUUCUUAAUCACAUUCAUCUGCAAAAGAAGCAAACGUACACAACAAUAAAUGAACAAAAAAUGAAAUUAAAAAGGGAGAUACUCUUUUAGCAUUGGCAACAAUACCUUAACACUAUUAUCGUAGCUACAUGAAAACAAGAUAUCCUCUGUGGGAUGCCACUUCACCAUUUUCACAUCCUGCGAGUGUCCUUGCAGCACUGACACACACUCAAACUCAUUCCCAGGCAGCACUUCCCAUAUCCAAACAGACUUAUCUCUACUACAAGUUGCAAGCAACGUCCCAGCCGCGUUCCAAGACACACACUUGACUUCAUUUUCGUGUCCCUAUAGUAAAAAAAUCACACAUAUCUCAAAAGUAAAUAACAGUGAUCAAAUAAUACACAUAUCCAAAUUAAAAUAAAAAAUAAAAAAAAAAGUAUUUAGCAGUAACCUACCUCCAAAGUAGAAACACACUCAAAAUCACCACCAACAUUUUCCCAAAUGGCAGUGGUGGCAUCGAAGCUUGCAGUGGCCAAUAGCUUACCCGACGGUGACCAAGCACAAGAUCGAACAGUUCGAGUGUGCGUUUCAUCCAGAACCGCCUACAUUUUAUUUACAUAAUAUCAAUACAAGUUUCUUCAAUUAUGAAAUAUAAACUCAAAUUGAUGAUGAAAAUUGGGAUGAGAAAAGACCGUGCAGGCCCAGAGGCCAGAGGAGAGGUUCUGCUCCCAGAUUCGGACGGUUUUGUCGCCGCUGCAAGAAGCGAAGACGAGUGGGAUACCGGCGUGACCGGUGGUCGGGUUCCAGGCCAAGCUCCAAACCUUAUCGGUGUGGCCUUCGAGUCUCUGAAUCUCUUUCAACUCCAUCAUCGCCAAUCGAUUUUACUCUUCUGCGUACACUGACUCUAAAGUCUAAAGUCUAAACUCUGCUAUUUCCUACUUCCUCUCCCACAGAAGCGUGCGUGCAUAUCAUUUCCACGCGUCAGAGAAAAAAAGAAGAAAAUAGUUUGAACAAACAAACAAAAAUGACCAAAUGGGCCGCCACCAGUCCAGGAUGGGGUGUGCAAAUGGAAAAACUAGGUAUUAUUUUUUAAAAAUAGGUCGUUUUAAAUUAUUAUUUAAUAUUUUUUUUUAAGUACUGAAAAAUAGGUCUUUUAGAUUAUUAUCUAAUUUUCUUAUACGUCGUCUUCAACAUGCUAGCCGGUCGAACCGGUAACCUCGAUCUCCACACCUGCACCAGCGUCGUCGGUUACUGCCUCUUGCCGGUCGUCAUUUUCUCUGCCCUCUCGCUCUUCUUACCGGUCGAUGGGGUCAUUCGCCUCUCGGUCGCCGCGGUUUUCGUCUUGUGGGCCACCAGGGCCUCCGCCGGACUCGUCGUUUCGUUCGCCGACGGCGGUGACGAACACCGUGGACUCAUUGCAUACGCAUCUUUCUUGAUUUACACUCUGUUUUCGUUGCUUGUCAUAUUCUAGGGUUUGUCGUUGGUUCUGGGAUAUUUGGAUUGGAUCGCUGUUCUUAUGGUUUUACUUCUUUUCCUUCAUUUUGAACCUUGUUAUUUUUUGGGUGCAAUUAUGGUAUAGAAAAUGGAGUUAUUAGUUUGAUUCAAUGUUUCUGUCUGAAAAGUUAUUCCUUGGUUACAUUUUUGUUCUGAUAUUGAAAGGUUUUUGUAAAGCUUAUAAACACGUUAAAAGCUAUUGGGCUAGUUUGUUUAAAAUUAAAAUUAGCAAUUUUAAAAUAAGUGCUUUUAAAAAAAACUUAUUUAAUAAGCAUAUAGGAUUUGCUUCUCAAAAUAAGCAGUAAAUUAUUUAUUUUAAACAAAACAGUUUAGACAAACACACUACAAAAACAUAAAGUUACUUAUUUUAUUAAAAUAAAUGUUUUUUAAUAAAUAAGUUUAAACAAACUGAGUCAAAUUUUCAAAUUUUCCAUAAGUUUUUUCUCACACUUAUACAAGUGCUUGUGUUAUAAGUCUAGAUAGGCUGUAAAAAGACUCUUCUAAAUGCAUCCCAAUUAAACAGUUUGAACUCCUUAAUUUAUCUUCAUUAGAGAUUAAAAUUGAAUGCUGCCGGGGUAAGGGGAUUUCAACUCAGAAGUAACAAGAAAAACUUGAUUUUGCGAGCUGGAGUUAUGACUAUUUGUUAGGGAACAGGAAGAGGGAGUAAUGAAAGUAUACUCUAGAAGUAACAAGAUGACUAAUAGGUGAUUAGGAGUUGAGUAUAAAUAGGAGGGAGGGAUAGCAAAAAAGGAUAAUUGUAUUGUAAUAGAAAACUGUAUUAAAUUAUAAGGGGCAUUUUCCUUGGAAGGGUGUUUCUCUCUCAACCCUUGUGGAGUGAAACUCAUUCUUUCAUUCUCUACUAGGACUCACCUAUCUUCUUCUUUGGACUUAUCACUAUUUAAUUGAGGUAUGUAAUUCUUUUCUCUGAUGGUGAUAUGGUGUAUCAUUUUGAUCGAUUGAUUUGGCAAAAUACAUAUUGUUAAGCAACACGUCUUAACAUCCACCAUGAUUAUGAUGGAUGGAAUACUUGCAUAGGUGACUUCUUGAAAAGCUGUAGAGUGCUGUCUUUAUGUUUAAGGAGCUUCAAGUAUGGCCAUGCUGUUUGAGACUUGGAUUUUCAUAAAUAUUUUCACUAUAAAUGUUUUCCAUGCGCAAACUGACCCUUAGGUUUGAGUUUUAUUUUUAAGUUCAUUUGCCAGCUUGCUGAAACCUACUAACUAAAUCUUGCUCUCAUUGUAGUGUAAUUCUGUAGCAAAAUUGACUGAUAUUAUUUAUCUAUGAAACUUAAUAGGUUCAUAAAUAUCAAAUUUUUUAACACUUAAAAGUUUAGGGCCUAACUCUAUCCCACAAAACUAAUUUGUAAGGUGGAGAUUGUCGAACUUUAUAAGCUCUAAUUAAGGUAGCCCUUAGGCUACAAUUAAGUUAUCUCUCCAAAGUGGCAACUAAGGUGGGCUACUAGUUGGGAAUGUUACAACUUACAAAUGAUACCAUCUUAAAAAUUUUGCUUAGCACCUAACUCAACAUCACAAAAUCAGCUUAUAAGAGUAAGAUGAGGAGUGUCCUAGUUUUAUAAGGGCCUAACUCAACAUCACAAAAUCAGCUUAUAAGAGUAAGAUGAGGAGUGUCCUAGUUUUAUAAGCUUUGAUUAUGUCUGAUCUCUAGUUGAUGUGAGACUAAAUAUCCACCCUUAAGAAUGUAAUUUAAGACAAUUCCCAAAGAUGUCACAACUAAGGUGAAUUGCAAUUAAAGAAAUUUCCCAAUAACACUUUCCCCUUAUCUAGAAGCAUAGAUCUGAUCUAAAAUAUGUAUUCCGUGCUUUGAAUUUAAAUUGCUAUGGACUAAUAGUACCAACAUUUCAAAUCUGUGUAUGAAUUAAAUUAUUAUGAAAGUUUAAUUUCGUGGAUGUAAUUAAUAAUGAGUUAUUACCAAGUAGGAUGAUAUUUUUGCAGGGUCAAUUGCAAUUGAAUUCAGUCAUUACGUAUUAGGGUAGGGAUCUAAGUAAAUAUGCAGACUUGAAAGUUUUUAUAUGAACUAUGAUUUUGAAAUUACUACGAUUAUUUGAAUGUUUUAUUUUAAUUUUUCCUAGUUUUUCUAAUUCUUAAAAAACUCUCUACAUCGUUACCUUACAUAUUGAGACGUUGCAACGUUUCUUAUUAUCAUAUUUGAUUCUGCCGUUGACUAUGUUAUCAUUUUGGUUAAUCUGAUUCUAUUGUUACUCUUUCAAAUUGUGCCUGUUGAGUGUUUGGUUUUUGCCUAUAGACUGUCAUGCUCUUAUCCCAUCUUUCGUUACAGUUUAAUCCAGAGAAAUAAUAUAGUCUUUUCUUUUUUCCUUAUAAAAACGCAGGAAAUUGAUAAAAUGUUUUUAUUCCCCAAAACAAACUAAUUAAAAGUUAAAAUGCGCAUUUAAUUGGUAUUGUUUAAGGCCUCCCUCUCUGGCUACAUAAAAUAAGCACAAAAUCAGAACGAAAAGAGGUAAACGAUGUAUCUGCUGCAUCUUUAUCUCUGGUGUAUUCGUGUUAGAUCACCUACUCACUACUGCGCUGCCACAAUGACAAGAAUAGCCUUUGUUUGCACCUUUGAUUAAUUAACAUCUAUAGGAGGUCAAAUUCAGACCCUAGAAUGUUCAAUUAUUUAGGUGUCAUUCUUGAUAUAACAAGAAAGGAAUUACUCUCCUUAGGAUUUGAACCUAUGAUGCUAUAUAUAUAUAAAAAAAAGGAUUUGAACCUAUGACAUAGUCCAUGCUUAUUAGAUAGGGUGUUUAAUCUUUGACUCCGCUUAACUAUGGAACUGAAGGAUAUUGUUAUGUGCAUCCAGCAUAAUUGUUGGUACAUCUAGCACAACAAUACGAUUCUUAUUUUAUCAUUCCAUAAAACUAAUACUGGUUGGACAAUCCAUAAGUCUCACAAAGAUUAUUGGACAAUUCAUAAGUCUCACAAAGAUUGUUGAAUCUGUAUGAGACUUACGGAUUGAGCUUAUGGAUUGACAAUCCAUGAAUCACUUGCAGAUCAUAUGAAUUUUAUUAUAUUUUAAAAAAAAUAUGUUUUAUGAAUUAAUUUAAAAUUAAUAAUCUAAAUAGGAAUUGAACUUGUGACUUUCAUGUUAUUGGUCUAACGCUCUAAUCAACUAAACUAAAUAGACAAUUAUGUUAUAAAAUAGUUAACGUUGUUAACGAAAAUAUAAUAUACUAUAAUAUGUAGAUACUAUAUUAAAUCUUAAUUGUGUUUGUUAAUAUAAAAUGAUAGUUGUGAAUAUUAAAAACAAAAAACAUGCCAAAAGAGUUUUAAAAAGACACUAACGAAAAUUAUUUAAAUCAAUUUGAAUUUUAAUUAAAAAAUAAUUUAAAAAUUGAAAAUAAAUUAUAAAUUAAAUGGUUUAAUUUUAUCAAUUUAAUUAGAAAAAUAACUUUAAUUGAUAGAUUAAUAAAACUUUGAAAAUGAAUAAUUAUUUUAAUAGUUAAUCAUAAGAAAGUAAAAAAAUAUUUUAAAAAUAUAAUUUUUAAUGUUAUUAAUAUAUAUGUGCAGUAAUUUCAAAGUUAAAAAUAAUAAUUUUUGAAAAAUAAUUAUGAUUGUAUGAGUAUAUUUGAAGAUAAAUUUUUAAAAAUAUAUAAAAGAGGAUGAUUAUCUUUCUCUUAUUCUAUUUAAAAAUAUAAUUUUUAGUUUUUUAAAUUUUAUACAUUAAUAUGAUCAUUUAAAUCAAUAGUUAUUAUGAAAUAUAAGUUUUUAUCAAUGAUUGUAACAGCUUAGUUUGUAAAUUCAAAUUAAAAUUUUAUUUAAGCAUACAAUUUUUAAAAGAUUUAUAAAAAAAAAUAUCUUUAAAAUUUAAUUUAUGAUAUUCUAAAAUAUGAGAUAUCAUUCAAUACAAUGACGAGCAUAUUUAAAUUUGGUGGUGCGCGGGCAGGAAUGUUUUCUGAAUUGGCAGAUUCUUUUCCUCAAAUUCAAAAAAUAAUAUCAUAAGGGAUCCUUCAUACUUCAAAUUCUAUGUAUUAAAACUGACUAGUCAAUAAUAUUUAAUAUUAUGUUCAUUAAUUACAAUAUACAACCAAAUUUUAAAGUACAUAUAAAUGUAUAAAUGUAAAAUACACGUGUUUUUAAUAUAUAAUUAAUAAAUUAUGAUCAUUUCAUAAAUGAUCAUUUUCCUCAUAAUUGAUAGUCACGGUGUUUAGUAUAAAUAGGAGAUCAUCAAGUCCAAAAAAAUAAUAAAAAUCUUUUUUAUCUAUAUAUUUUUUUCUCCGUUUUAUUAUUCAGAAUGUGCCCUCUUAUGAUAUGUGUUUUCUCUUUGGUGUUGGUUCUAAAUGUACCUAUCUCGUUUGCUUCUUAUGACUUUUUUAUGUUGUCUGAAACAUGGCCAGCAACCUUGUGGAGUUAAAAACCGUUUGUUACCAUGUGCCAAACAACCAAACACGUUCACUAUCCAUGGACUAUGGCCACAAAAUCAUAUUGGUCCUCAGCCAACAUCAUGCAGCAACCUCCAAAAGGAUAAAUUCGAUAAAAGAAUUGUGAGUUUAUCUUGUACAUUAACAAUAUCAGAAGGUACCUACCUUAGGGGGAGAAGGGGUUGGAUAACGCAGAGAUGGCACAAUGGUGAUGGUUUGACGUAAUAUUGAGGUGUCAGUAACAAAACGUGACGAUGUGGAACUUUGUUUGAUCAUCAUUUAACGAAGGGAGGUUAAUGACGGGUAGUAAAAUAAAACCUAAAAAAUUUUUAGGUACUUGAUUGGAAAAAAUGAAUGUUAAGUAGUAAUUUAAAAAUGAUCUAUUUUUUAGGUAAGAAAAACUUAAUUAAACCUAUUUUUUUAUAUCAAUAGAGAUAUGUAAUAUUUUGUAUAUGAAUAUUAACAAUCAAAUUUAAUUUUAUAUUUCACGAAAUGAUAAACUUUACUCUCCUUGAAUUUGAAUGAGACAAAUUUCACAUAUCUAUUUAAAGUAUUCACAUAUCCUAUUUUAAUGUAAGAGAAUUUAAUGAAACAAAUUUUACAUUAGUAAAAAAUAAUUAAAAUUGUGUCCCAAAAACAAUAAUCAUGUUUAAGAAUGAUCAUUUUGACUUAUUUUAAAAUUACAAAGGACAACUAAAUUAACAUUUUUUAAAAUGAUUAAAUUGGAUAUAACAAAAAAUAUAAAGGAUUUAUAAUUUUAUUUUAACCCAACUAAAAAGAUGUAAUUUUUCCUAUAAUGAAGUUAUAAUUGUUCCUUAAAAAAAGUUUCAUUGGUAAGAGGAACCUGCUAACAUGUUAUAAGGAUAUUGAUUAAAGAAUUUUAAAAAGAGAUUUUUUUUUAUGUGUAAAUUAUAGGAGAACACAAAAAAAUUAUGGGAAACUCAAUUUUGCACCUAAAAAAAACUUUCUAUUCUUAAUUCCUUAACUAAUACCUUUAGGAUACUUGGUAUAUGACUUGUUAAAAGAGUUCAUCAAUAUACAUAGAUGUGCUUUGGUUUGAAUGAAGAUAAAAUUGAUUUUUUUUGUCGAUAAAUUUUGUUUUUUUAUUCAUAAGAAUUAAAUAUGAUAUGAAUGGAUUUACAUCCUCAUAGUGUUUAACUAAAUGAGUUAAAACUAUUGAUUUUUGUCUUUUAAUAUAAUCAUUUGAAUCCUUAAAUAAUUAAUUUGAUUCAUAUUAAUUUUGUUUAAGUUUUAUUUUUUUAUAAAAAAAGAUAAAAAAGGGUUAUAUAUUAAUAAUGUAAAUAAUUUUACGCCACCAUUCAAUCACAACCAUUUAUGUAUGAUGAGUCUGUUAACUUUUAAAAUAAUUAAUAAUUAAAUGAGAAUAUAAAAUUGUUUAUAAUUUCAGUACAUAGACAUUAAACUAUAAAUAAACACUUGGCUCCUUGAAUAUUUAAUUCAUCUCACUUUUGAAUUAAUCAAAAUCCAAAGCAAUUUUUUCCAUACUAAAGUUUUACAAUAAAUAACAAUUUUACUUUUAUUUUCAUCCUCUAAAGUAAACCAAACACAACAUUAAGAAUAUUACAUAAUUUCUUCGGUUCUUCCUACCAUUUUGGUGUGUGAAAGAGCAUCUAGCCUCCAAUGUUUCAUUUGUCGACAAAAAAGAAAAAAAUAUCUCUCCGUUCAUCUUAUCCCUAAGGAUUCACGCUGGUCACAAAAAUCCCCAAAUUGCCCCGGUCCUCCUUCUUCUUCUCCCGCUGGCUUUCUGAAAAUUUUGAAAUAACCGCUCUCCCAUUUUUCCGUUCCAAAAUUCAAAAACCCAAUCCCAAUCUCUCCCUCCUUAUUUAAAUCCCUCAAAUUUCUCCUUCAAACCACAACAAUGCCGUCGAUACCAGAAGAACGACUCCUGACUCCGAACCCAGACCGGUUCUGCAUGUUCCCAAUCCAAUACCCUCAAAUCUGGGAAAUGUAUAAGAAAGCCGAGGCCUCCUUCUGGACGGCGGAGGAGGUGGACCUCUCGCAGGACCUCCGCCACUGGGCCACCCUCAGCGACGGCGAGCGCCACUUCAUCACCCACGUCCUCGCCUUCUUCGCCGCCUCCGACGGCAUCGUCCUAGAAAACCUCGCCGGCCGCUUCACCAAAGAAAUCCAACUCCCGGAGGCCCGCGCUUUCUACGGCUUCCAAAUCGCCAUCGAAAAUAUCCACUCCGAAAUGUACAGCCUCCUCUUAGAAACCUACAUCAAAGACUCCACAGAAAAAAAUCGUCUGUUUCGCGCCAUAAACACCAUCCCAUGCAUCACCAAAAAAGCCCAGUGGGCCCUCCGCUGGAUCGAUGCCUCAGAAUCCUUCGCGGAGCGCCUCGUGGCAUUCGCUUGCGUCGAGGGAAUAUUCUUCUCCGGAAGCUUUUGCGCGAUAUUUUGGCUCAAGAAGCGUGGGUUAAUGCCGGGGCUCACCUUCUCCAACGAACUCAUCUCGCGAGAUGAGGGGCUUCACUGCGACUUCGCGUGUCUCUUGUACUCGCUUCUCAGGAAGAAGCUUAGUGAGGAGCGCGUGAGGGAGAUUGUGCGUGACGCGGUGGAGAUUGAGAGGGAGUUUGUGUGCGACGCGCUUCCGUGUGCGUUGGUGGGGAUGAACGGGGAGUUGAUGAGUCGGUAUAUUGAGUUUGUUGCGGAUCGGUUGCUGGAUGCGCUUGGGUGUGGGAAGGUGUACGGUGCUCAGAAUCCCUUUGAUUGGAUGGAGCUUAUUUCGCUUCAGGGGAAAACUAACUUCUUUGAGAAGCGCGUUGGGGAGUACCAGAAGGCUUCUGUUAUGUCUAGCUUGAAUGGUAAUGGAGGGGCGCAUGUCUUCAAGAUGGAUGAGGAUUUUUAAUUUUUUUAGGAUGCUCUACUAAUUAUUACUAUUUUUUAAUCACUGUCGUAAGGUUGCUUUCAUGUUUUUAACUUCAUUCAAUGUAACGUGGCUUUUUCUGUUCAUUGUAUUAUAUAAUCCGGUUUACAGUAACGUACUUGAAUUGAAGAAUUGAUUAGAUAAAUAGUUUAUGUUGGUACCAGAAAGCAUUUGAUUUUGUUUUCCUUGUUAAAAUUAGUCACCACUGGAUUUAAAACUGCACUUCAUGUAUAAAAAGAGGGUAGGCAGAGUCAAGCAUGACAAUCCAGGCCUCAAAGAGCUUGGGAUAUCGUACUUUUUAAUUUCAUAUUGAGAGCAAGUGAGGGAGUUUUACUAUUACAUCAUUUUCUGUACCAAGGUACUUCAGUUACUGAUAUCACACUGAUAUCCGAACCAGAAUUUCAGUUUCACUGAUAAUACUGUAACUAUUCAGCUUUUCUUGUGCAGUUCCAUACUUAAUAAGUGGACUUGCUUAUCAUUUCAACCAUAUUAACGUUUAAUGGAUACCAUUCUUACAUUCCUUGAAGCCAUAGAAUCUACAAUUUGGCUUGGAAUUAGUGUGAAAUGUUUUUGUUCAUGCAUAGGUUUCAGUAAGUGUAAAGAUUUUAAUGAUGUUCAUUGGUUGACUUUGUUAUUUUUUUAUUCAUUUGUUGUACUUUGUUAUGAUUAUCUUUUGCUCAAUUUAAUAUGUAUUUGGACAAACUUUUUGUGUUCGAAACAAACUUUGUUAUGAUAAUUCAAACUUGUCUCUAAAACUUAACCAAUCCAGAAAUGCACUUAGUUAUUCCAAAUUAAUCUGAAGUCUGUUAUCUGAUUCUGUACAAGCUUUUCCUUCUGUUCCUACUUAAAAAGUGAGGUUAUCUGGUGGAAGAACCAAGAAGGAUGAGAAACAGUUAUGUAACGCAAAAUGGCCUUGUACUAUGAAAUGAUACAGAAGAGAUGGCUUGCACUGAAGCAGAGCUUGCAGAGGAUUUUUCAUAAAAAUGCUCAAUCAACAAAAGUUAUAGGAGCAGGUAAAAAUAUUUAACUACUGGUGAGUGAUGAAGCUUUUGGUACAUUUGUACUUGUACGCUGUUAACAUACCUUGGAUUCGUUCUUGAGAGAGAAGCUAAAGCACCCGCGCAAGUUUAACUUGAAUGAUCAAUCUUCCAUCCUUGAGAAGGAAAAUACUAGUUAACAAAAUAAAGGGAGAUUCAUUUCGAAACAUGCUUCCAAUAAGAAAUUUUUUCAGGGGUAGUCAAUUAAGUAUUAACACACCAUCUCUGAUUUUAAUCGCAGUCAUUUUAUAUUAUAAAAAUUAGUAGCAACCAAUAUAUAAAUUAUUGCAUUGUAGUAUUUGGUUUUGGCGCAUCCAAUGGUUUGCAGAGACUUGCUGUGAAUGGAUCCUAAAAUAUGAUUUGGAAAGAAGCGUGGCAAUAGAACAAGGAGUCUAUUCGGAAAUUUAUAAUAUACACAUAUAUUGGUUUUCUUAGUUCAGUACACUUGGUUCAUCUAAAUUAAAUGACUAAUUUUGUCUUCAAAAUGAUUAAUCUCUCCUUGGUUGGUUAGUUCUGACGCUAUAUUGCUGUCUCUAAAUAUUAAAAAAACUCUACAAUAUUCAAAUGUUUUAACUUGGUUUGCUUACUUGACAGAUAGUUUUGCAGGGUGACAAUCUUUGUUCACGAGAUUAGAUUCAUCAUGCAUUCGACUUUUAGUCAAUCUAGAAUAAUAGCGCGCCUAGUGCAAAACACGGGCCAAAAAAGCAAAACAGAAAUUGUCUUUUAGAAUGAAAAUUAAAAAUGAAAAGUGAGAGUGCGCUAUUGACACAUGGAACUUGUAUAUAAUGGUAACUGAUUUUAGGAUCUAAAAUUAUUUAUUAAAAUAAAGUAGCUGAUUUUAUUCUUAAUCAAUAAUAUUUUUAUUAAAUUUGAUCCAUUACACUCUUUCUUGAAAUAUUUGGGUUUUUGUGAAAAAAAAUAAAUUCAUACUAUAUAACAAAAUUUAAUCUAUUUUUCUCUAAUAAUCAAUUUGAAUAUUAAAUAUUUUUCAGUUCACCAAUGAUAUCAAUUUUUUUACACAAUACUUAUUAUUUGAAGUCCAUAAGAUGAUAGAUAAGUAAAGAUAUUGGCUCAUCCUAAAAAAAAGCGUAAAGAUAUUAGUUUGUAGGUUGUAUGUACAAAAUUAAAUUAUAAAUUCCUUAAAAUAAUAUUGCAAAAUGAUGUAAGAGGAGAAUGAGAAGCCGCAAUUUUUUCUUCUCAAUAAAAAUGAUUCACUUGAUAUAAACCAACCAAAAUAAAUAAAUAAAAUGACACAGCUUUUUUUUCACAGAGGUGGAAGUUGGAUUCUGUGAAGUAUAAAAGCCCAGCCCAUUAAGAGCAAAGUGGGGCCGUAAAGUACGUGCGAAGCGGUGAUCUAUUCCGAAUUUCCGAUCUUAGUUUGCGUUGCGUUGGCGUAGGUUGAAGAAGAAGAAGAGAGAGAGAGAGAGAGAGAGAGAGAGAGAGAGAGAGAGAGAGAGAGAGAGAAGGGUAAGGUAACCCUAGAGUGGUGAAUCGAAUUCGAAACGAUGGAAAGUGUUUCUCGAAGAAGAGGUGGAGGCAUUUUCGAAAGCCUCUACAAGGUCGUUAUGCGUCGCAACUCUGUCUAUGUUACCUUUGUCAUCGCUGGCGCCUUCCUUGGAGAACGGGUCCAUCCUUUUGCCUAUGCCUUUUUUCCUUUAAUUUCAAUAUUAUUAUUAUUAUUAUUAUUAUUAUUAUUGCUAAGAGAUUCCCGUUAUUGGUUGCAGGCUGUUGAUUAUGGAGUCCACAAGCUCUGGGAGGCAAAUAAUGUUGGGGUAAUAAACCUUCUCGACUCUAUGUUUGAUUUAGUCUAUCUAUCGAUUUUGUAGUGCAUGACAUGCCAUAUGCUGUUAGUUUUCUGAGGCAGUAGAUUUGACUGGUCAAAUUGAAUUGAUGUUGUAUUCUCCAUGUUGAUGUUGGUUCUAAGAUGUACAUGUUGUAUAACUUUUAAAGGGAUCAAGCUUCUAAUAACCUCAUAGUCUGACUAUCAAUUGUACCAACGAAAAACGAGACCAAUCUUUAUGUCUACUCCGGUGGUAGGGGGCUAAGACUUGGUUGUUGUUGUAUUAUGACUAUGACUAUCAAUCAACAUUCAACUCACUAUCGCAUGUUACUGCAAAAUAGUUCAUGAUUUGAUUACAUCGUAAUUUAUUAUUAGAUAUACAAUUAGAUUAUGAUGUAUGAUAUCCAAUUGGAUUAAGCUUGAUUUGCAGCUUAUACUAAUAACUACUUACUAUCUUGCCAAGUUCUAUUCAAAUCAUUUUAAAUAUAUACAUUAUCUUAUGAAUUUUUAUGCCACAAAACUUAUUCUUCAGUCUUUUCUAAUGACAAAACUUAGGUACUGUCUCAUUAGGUGGUGCCUAGUGCCUACGUUCCUUGUUUCCUACUUUUUUAUGCUACUUGUUCAUCUUAACUUGUGGCUGUUGAAUUAAAUGUGCUUGGAAACUAUUCAAUUGCAAUUAGAAAAUAGUUUAACAUCCCUUUUGCAUGACCCAUCAUCUUGUUUGGGGAUAAUGCAAUUUUCACACAUCAUAAUUUUGCUUGCGCCAAACAGUAUCAAUUGUUUUGUUCAAGUUUUGUCAACAAUUUUAUCAAUUUUUAUUCUUUACUGUGCUCUGGUUGCCUGACUCCCCAAAAGAAAAGCUGCAGAAGAAAAUAUGGUUCUUUUUCUUUAAUAUGGCUAAACACACACAAUCUUUCCCUCUCCUGCACCUAGAGGCAGCCCUUUCUCUUUUCAUUUCCCUUGUCGUGAGAGCUCAAAAUUUUCAAGGGCCACAGGUUGGUCUUCACUGCCAAUUGUGAUGUCUCUCAUCUCAAUAGCUAGUUCUUUCACUUGACUUCUCUCUGUCACAUGUUGGUAAUCUUGCUUCCAUUAACUUCCUUAAGAAAAGGGAAAAACGUUGUGGUAAUCUGUAAUCCAUUUGUCAAAAUAAGGUAGUGUUUGAUAGGCAUGCUAGAAUAGGAUGCAACAUAACAUAUGAGUUCUAUUUCAUGUUUGGUUCAUUUUAGAAAUAAUAGAAGUUGGAACAAACAUGAGGUUGGGAAAUGGUACAUUCUGGUUUUGUUGAAAAAGUAGGGAACCAAGGAGAAAGGAACAGAAUGGGAUGUUCCACUUUGUUUUGUUCGUGCAGCAAAUGCUACAGAAGUAUUCUGGUAUUCAUUAUUAUUUUUUGAAACAAUCAAACAUUGAACACAAAUCCUGUUGUUGAUUAGGGGUUGAAAUUAAAAUCUAUGCUGUGGUUGAUAUUCUAUUAAUGGGAAUGAGUGUUGUCAUUCCCAUGUGUCCAUUGUCACUCUCCUAUUCAAAUGAUUUUUAUGUGAAAUACUCUUCUCCUUUGGUGAUGGAACUAAUAGUUUAAAGAUUUUAUAUAAAAAAUUUAGAGUGGCAAUGGCAAUAGACAUUUCCUCUGUUUUGCCAGGCUUAUUUUUUUUUUAUAUAGGUAGGAGGGAGGAGAACGAAAUGACUGACGUAGAGAAAAUUGUGCAAUGCACGUACUAAUUUGCUGGCUCUGCGCGUACAUGUUUGGGGCAUGUGCCUAUUUUUAUAUUUUCAUUUUUUUAAUACGAAUACUCUCCAUUUCUGACUUUUAAAUGUUUUUCUUUGCCUCAUUUAUACUUUGCUUUAGUUACCACUUAAAAUCAGACGGGAUGUCUAAUUAUGGGCAAUUUUGCACUGUUAAUCCCAUUUAUGCUAGUUGUCAAGUAUUUAUUAGUUAGUAUUACACCAAUUGCCAACCAUCAAUUUUAAGGAUUUUGGUUUUUAUGAUGGUCUUAUUUAAGCUUUUUAGCAUUUUACCGUUGAUCUAUAAUUAUAUUUUCUUCUGCAGAAACGAUAUGAAGACAUUCCUGUGCUAGGGCAAAGGCCGUCAGAAUAGUGACCAGCUUGUUAGCCAUUUUGAAGUUUUAUUAUUUUCAUAAAGAUUUGAAGUGAUUAAGAGCUGGAAGCAGUUUCCAUUUUUACAAUAAAUACCAUAUGCUUGUGCGUGGUUUCAUUGACUGGCCAUUGGAAAUAUUAAACAUUGAACCAUUGCAGAAUUCUGUAUUUUUUUUGAAACGAUUUAUCCAGAAUCAUUGGUUAUGCAAGUCGCAGACUUUCUAGUUUGCCUAUGGAUGUUUAAACAGGGAAAAUCAGUAAUGCUCAUUAAUUUCAUUUAGCAUUCAACUAAUGAGUGAGUAAACUGUUGCCGCUAUCCACGGAGUUUAUUCUGACCAAUUGAUGCAAGUAAUGUAAAAAGAAGAAAAAAAAUGAUAAGCUUUUUUCUUUGGAAAGGCAACCAUUUUUUUUUUUUUUUGCAGUAAAUUAAAAGGCCAACAUGAGCAUAAGGAAUGCUGGUACUUGGCAACGAAAAAUGAGAAAAAUGUGAAUAUGAUAAAAUAUUUCUGGUCAAAGAUUCAAUAUUUUUCUUUUGUGUAAAUGUAUAAAAGGUGAAAACAUAUUCAUAUCAUGUAGUAUUCAGUUGUAGUUUUUCUAUAAUGUAAAAAAAUCGUGUAGUACCUUUGGCGUGGCAUCAUUAGACAAUUAGACCACAUAAAAUGAAAAUGAAGCAUGGAGGACAAUGUUAUGCCAAUCCAUUAGCCAUAUUACCAUUUAACCUAACAUUAUUAUAUUGACAGACAAAAAUAGGUUUAUUUUUCAAAGUGGGAGACGAAAAUAUUAUUUUUUUAAAUUUAAUUCUUAUAUAUUUAACUUUAUUUAUUUUUAAACUUCGCCAAAUUUUUAGAGGCUUUAAAACAUAUUUAACUUAUUAAUUUAUUUUAAUUCUUACAUUUCAAUAGGUUACACUUUCAGUCUCCACUCUUUCAUUUGAUUUUGUUUAAAGUGAGCUAUAUUCUCCCUUUAUGCAAAUAUCCUAGUUCUAAAAAAUUUCUUCAUUUCUUAUCUCUUGAUUUAAAUUCAUUCAUCUCUUUCUUGUUUCCUCUGACUCUUUUCCCAUUUAAACAAACUUGCUCCUCUCAUAUUUGUUUAUUUAUCUCUUUUAACUUGAAUAUUGAUUUAAAUUAUUUUAUCUCUUCUCUAACUUUUAUAAACAAAUUUAUUAAUUUUUAUUGAAUUCAUUUGAAUAUACUAUUUAUCAUAUGAUAUGAAUAUUUUUUCACUUUUAUUAAUAAAUAAUUAUAAUUAUAAAAUUUACAUAUUAAAUUUAAAUUUGUAAUUAUUAUUUGAAUAUGUUUUUAUAUUUUUCAAACAAUUUUAUACUAGUAAGACAUUCCAAAGUGCUUAUUUAAAAUAAUACAUUUAUAAGAACGUAUUAAUGGUGCAAAUUGGAAAUACAAUUCUAUUUAAAAUUCUAUGGAGAUGUUUAGGGUUUUUUUAUGAACCCCGUUGCUCAGUAACUGUACCUGGGUUGGCGGCUAAGGUAGGUUCGCUUUGGCACUCUUAUUAGUGAUUAGUGUACGCCAUUCGCCAUUUUGUUCUAAUCGUAGCUUCUGUUUUCAGAAUAAUCUGAGACAACCAACCUCAGCCUCUUACCAUGAGGUGCUUCAAUUUUACCCUUAUCAUUUACGAUUCUGAAGUUUUCUUGACAAAGUUAAUAUUUAUUAGUGUUUGGGUGUGUGUGUGUUUUUUUUCUUCAUUCAAUACUAUCUAAGGGCUUUGCAAUUGGUUUAAGCUGACAAAGCGGCCAGACCUUUUUCUUUAACGAAAAGGAUGCCAUGAAACAUAAAAAGACAACACAUGGUUGUGGAAUUAUGUAAGACAACACAUGGAUCACGGCUGGUUGUGAUUACAAAGGAAUCAGUAUGCUCAAUAACGAAAAGAAAGUUCCUGGGUGACGCUCCUUAAUUGGAAAUUUCUAUGGGUUACAUUUUAAGAGAUACAUCAAACUUCAAGUUAUUAAGUGUUAACAAAUUACGAAACCAACAUGUAGCCUUGGUUUAAGGUGUAGUACUACAGUUACUCAUUUUCUAGGCUCAUCCUCUACUGGCGGCACUUUGUUUGCGCAGUCAGAAGAGGUGUGCCCUAAAACCUGACCGGUGUUUGGGAGAGUGCCGUCCCUAGCAGAAGCUCAGUCAGGAGUGCCACUGAAACAUCCACAUAACAAGAUGCAACAUGUCACUCUGUAAUUUAGCAAAAAUAUUAAAGCACUAUAAAAUCCUCUUAAUAUUUUUAAUUUUUAAAUGAAAAGACUUAAAAGAGUAUCUAAAGACAUUGCUUGGAUGAUCACAAAAUGAAUCACCUCUAUUUAGAAUAUUUGGAGCAGGUUCAGCCUAGAAAAUUAUAUGAAAACUUCGAAUUUAUUUCUAAUUUUUUUAAUUUCUAGAAUUUUAAAAGAUUUAACAGGGAUAUUGACAUCUGAUUACAAUCUGAACCAGAAUAAGGCUGUGAGGAUUUCUCAAAUUAAAAUCAACAAUAAUCAUUAGCAUAAAUAACUUUUGGAAGAUGACAGCGACUAACUCUCAUAAAGGCUUAAGUUGUUAGAUAAAAGUUCAUGAAGAUAGAUAUCAGCCUGAUGAGGAAAGGAGCUGGAAGGUGUAUACGUGAAGAAAGAAGGGAAAUGGUCAAAUGAUGACAUUCAGGGCAAUAAGAAAGAAGCUGCUGAGUUGGCAAAAAAGUAGGGCAGUUAGGAUAUUUGUACAGAAGGGAUUAUCGUGAAUCUGGUAAGAAGGAGCUAAGUAGCUCAGUUGAGAAGGAGGAAAACUGUACUUGUUUAUCUGAUUCCUUUUUUCAAUUUCUGUUUUAUUUUACCUGUAGCACAUGAACCGGUUUUAUAUUCAACAAGGGUUCAAGAAUGGGAGCAACAAAGAUCAAACUCUUGGUUACUUGAUCAUAGAGGUUUUGAUACCAUGUCAAGGACCAACUUCCCUAGGUAAAGGCUUAAAAUGGUUUUAUAUAAAAUAGAUGUUCUCGACUUUUUCAGGGAUGAACAAGAUAACAGGAUGUGAAUUGUUAUGAUAGUUCAUAAAAUAUUUUCCAAGGAGAAAACAAAGAAGAAAAAUUAAGUUCACUGUAUAAAUGCAAAUCACAGACCUGUACUAAGGUGAUAAAGGUUCCGAAUAUUAAAAAUAGGAAAAUAAGAGAACAAUGGAAACAAGCAAAGAAAACAACCAAAUCGCAAUCUGCUUCCCUCUAUCCCAUACCAUCAGGUCAUAUACCUUUUACAACAGAAUUCUCUAACCCUUCUGGCCUUGUCUCCACACGCACACACACUUUUAUUUAUGUUUUUCUCUUAUGUACACUUUGGUCAUCAUAGUUAGAAGUCUUAUCAAAACAUUCUAAGAAACCUUAUUUCCUAUUUACUACCAUGCUAAAAUUAUGAUGAAGUUCUGUAUUGUAAUACCUGUGGAGGAAAGAAUGCGAAGAUAGUUCCUCAACAUAGUCAACAGUCGCGCCUUUCACAAAAUCAUAUGAAAUAUUGUCAACAACCAACUUAAUUCCAUCCCUCUCAAAAACCCUGCCAAAACACAUUAAGAAAAGCAAGUUAAUGUAAUUCGUAAAGGAGAAGGCUUUAGCAUGUUGAAGCCCAACAAAACACAAGUGAAACCCAAAUCAUAUUAUAUGUGAAAUUUGGCCGCUAAAUGGUAAUUUUGUCAUCUAAAUUAAAAGCAUACUGAAAUCCAGCACAUCCACCAGUUUCUACGCUUAAAGGAAGCAUUUUUCUGUCUGCUGAUGAUUCACUGGCUUCUAGUUCCUUCAUUUUCCGUUCCAUCAAUUAAAUCAAAUGCAAAUUUUAUUAUUAUUAUUUUUGAAUUAAUGAGAAAAGGUGCGAAGAAUGUGAAACCAAAACAAAAUCACAAACGGAAGUUAACAUACUCGAACGCAGUUUUUAGUCAUGUGAAGGGGCUCCAAGUCAGGAUCAGAAUCAGAAGAAGAAGUGGCAAUGGUGAACAACAGAAGAAGAAGAGAAUGAAGAAGCCUCAAUCGCGCCGCGCCGUCGCCAAUGGCGGCGCCAGGCGUCGAAUUAGCGACCUCUGUAUCUCUCUCUAAACAACCAACCAUUCAUUAUGUUUUGCCUCCUUUCGUUUUUUCUUAAAGACGCACGGUCUAGAUUCUGCCACGUCAUAAAAUCAAGAUCAACGGUUCACAAUUUACCAACCGCUCCAAAAUCAAAAUAAAACUGAGGAGUGAAUUGAAAGUAGAGAGACUGUUCGAAUGUUGGAAUCAAAGCGUAAGAACGUGAAAAAUGAAAAAUCUCUGCAUUAGUGAAUCUCCUUUUGAUUACAAUUUCUUUCAGUUUUCAUUUUCUGAUUGUGUUUUCAAUCACUUCUUGUAGAGGAGAGAAGAUGGAAAACAGUGAGGAACAAAAGUACAGAGUCCGGAGAUUAGAGAUCUCAGACAAGGGAAAAGGCUUCAUCGAGUUACUGCAGCAACUCAGCGUAUGCGAUUCCGUCUCCGACAAGGAAUUCGAGGAUCGAUUCCGAGACCUCAGUGUUCUCGGCGACGAGCACGUGAUCGGCGUGAUCGAAGACGAGGCUUCCGGAAAGAUCAUUGCGACGGGGAGCGUGUUUAUCGAGAAGAAGUUUUUGAGGAAUUGCGGCAAAGUUGGGCACAUUGAGGAUGUUGUUGUGGAUUCUAGCAUACGCGGGAAGCAUUUGGGGAAGAGAAUGAUCGAGUUCCUAACGGAGCAUGCGCGGGAUAUGGGAUGCUACAAGGUCAUUCUUGAUUGCAGCGUCGAGAACAAGGCGUUCUACGAGAAAUGUGGCUUCCAGCAGAAAUCUGUUCAGAUGGCUAUGUAUUUUGCUUGAACAUUAGUAUUUUUUUCUUUACUUCCUUUCCUUUUGCUUAUGAAUAUUUACCUAACGCCAUUGAUGAUCUAUCUAUGAGUACAUUCCUUGUCCUUUCAUUUUCCAGCUUUUAGCAUGUGUUUUCACUUUUGAGUUCUUGUUGGAUUAAAUUUUUUAACUGCUUACUAUAAAAGAAGUAGUAGUAAAAAAAAACUAUAUUUACUUCCAAAUAUGAUAGUCCAUGAAAGCUCAUUGAUUCAGGUGAUACAUCAUACAUGUUUGAUUUUGUGUAUGAAAAGAAAAAAAAUUCACUGAAAGUUGUUUCUACUGUAGCUUCUAGGUUGCAAGAGAAAUGUUGGCGAUGUAUAUUUCAAUAUUUGUUAACGUUUAUUUAAUAUUAUAAAAUAUAAAACUUCAUUUCUUAUUUAAUGCUAUAUUUUUACUUAUAAUUUUUAAUAAAUAGUAAUAAGCGUAUUAAAAAAACUGUUAAAAUAUAUUACUAGUUUUUCUCAUGACAGAAAUAUUUGUGACUCGAUCUCAUGUAAAUGGGGUCUAGACCAAAAAUUGGCUGUCAAAAAAAUAGAUUACACUACCUAUAUCUAAAGAUCUUUUUGUUUAAUAUAAUCAAAUUUAAGCGUGUGUGGUUAGAAAUUCAUACUAUUAUAUGGUUAUCAUCUACAAUCGUUCAUAUAUAGAUGCAAAGAUAAAACGAAAUCACAUUCGUGCUCAAAGUCCAUCAAUAUAUCCAGCAGAAACAGAUAGCGAUUGAAAUUUAUCAGCGAAAAACAAUUGAUGCACAAUGCUAAUCCACUUCUUGCUCAGAGUGCUGAAGAAACUUUUCAAAGCCGUAAGUCACAUUCUCAAUCAUCAUAACUUGAUUUUUGUUUCCCGUUCCUUUAAAUACAAGCAAAUAAAUAGUGCUUGCAGCACAAGCUAACUAAAAUUUUCAGUAAAACAAACUAGUACAUAUUUUGGUAAAUCUUUUUGCCUAUAACAAUGAAUCAUUUGUAAAUCCCUGAUAAAACUACACAUUACAAACUGAAGCUACUGCAUCUUAACAAACAAACUUUCUAUUAGCAGAAAUCCCAUCGAGGAGAUUGCAGAAUCCAGCUCCAUUUUCACCUGGGCCAUAUCUAAUGCAUCCAAAGAGGGUAGCAUGGAGACUGCAUCGAUGGAAACAAAGAAAUGAGCUUAAGCAGCUGCUUUUACAGGAUUUGUCUCCUCUAAAAAAAAAUGUGUACUUUAAAAAAUAAAGUACGAAGUUAUAACUCACAACCAUUGAUUGAAAAAUUAACAGAAUAAUACAAACAACUUUGUUGGUUAUAUACUUUAUAUAUGUUCUUGUAUCCCAUCAUAAUUUCAAAUGAUAAUUUUUCAAUCAACAAUUAUAACUCGACAAUUUAUCUUCUAAAAGUGUGUUCUUCACUCUAGAAGAGUCAAAUCUGACAUCCCAAUACCAUUACAAAUCAAACAAGGAAGUGACAUAACACAACACAAUUCAAACUAUACAUAUUGACAAUUUUAAAGCAAGGCCAGAAACUAAAGAGAAUCUAAGGCAUAAAAGAGGGAACAGAAAGGUCAAACCUAAGAAAUUAUGGACUAUCAAUCAAACCAAAACAGCAACAUAAGAUUCAAUUGCAAGAUGCCGAAGAAUCCAGAUUGCAUUAAAACAAGUUUGUUUGUAGAAAACUUACUCUCAUAAAAACCAUGCAAAUAGGUAAGGAGAUACUUGUAGAAACAAGUUUGUCUUAAUUAUAACAGAGUAUCAAAUUAUUUCUGAAUGUUUCUCUUGCAAAUACAUUGUCAUGGUAUUUAGUCAUACAUCCUGCUGUGUAAUUUUUGGGAUGCUAUGUUUCUGGUAAUAAAGAUAAAAUGGUAAAGCCAAACUGUGACAUAAAAUUAGCUGAACCUACAGGGAUACUUCAUGGCAUGGUUUCACUAAUAAAAUACUGUCAUCAUGCAAACUGUCUAUACUUUCUCUUUUCCUUCCCUGAACAUGACCCAAUGCCUUUUUCUGGUACCUCAACUACAUCUCAAUAUUUAUUGAAAAAUAAAUAAAAAUACAACACUUUGAUUUGUCAAAACACAUGAAAAUGUGCCAAGAAGAUCUACAAACAAGAAGGUUGAAAUUAAGCAAUUUCUUUAGUAUUAGCCCAGAAACAAAUAAAGCUGUUUAUUUCACGAGGACCAGAAACAAAUAACAAUAUAUAUGACUUAUCUAAGGGGGGGAAAAGCAACUGAGAAUUUUCAAAUACUUUAUGAAACAAUGCCUCCAAAAUUUCAGAGUACAGUGGGCACUAAAUUGGCCAUACAAGAGCAAAAUUAUAACACAAUGAUAUGCAUACCUUCAGGCUCAAAAAAGGCACUUCAAUUAUCCAAAUACUCAACAACAUUGCUGUCUAGCUUGGUUUGACACUUCAACUCAACAUUCCUUUGUAAAACAUCAGGUAGACCAUAGCUCCAAUGGCAUCUGUCCUGGUGUUAAUCAAGGGACAGUAGCAUAGUACCAAUGAGGCAAUGACAUAUGAGACAAGGAUUUUCAUUGUCUCAAUCCCCCACAUCUCCAUUUUCAAUUCUCUUAUCAGUUCAGUUCUCAAUCAUUCCCCUAUCACCUUGGCCCCAUCAAAUUGAAACCAAGUUAAAUCUUAAAUGCUUGCAUAUUCAUUGAUCAAAUUUGCUUACUUGACGGCGUGUAGGGCGUCGGCAAUUCGACAAUCCACUCAUCAAUUGAUUAUAUGAAGCAAGAUCAGGUAUAAACCCCAUAUCCAACAUCUCAUCCACCAGCAACUCUCCUUGCUCUCUCCCUCCCUCCCCUAUAUACCCCAUGACCAAAAUCCUAUACGUCAUCUCAUCUGGUUCAAAACCCUUGCUUGAAGCAAGCAACCUCAAUCUAUUCGCCUCAUUCGUUCUCCGCUUAUCACAAAUAUCCCGAAGAACACAGUUGAAAGUCACAACAUCCAGCACCAAACCCUCUUCAAGCAUCCUUUCCACCAAUCUCCUCGCCUCGUCAAUCUUCCCCAACCCUCUCAACCCAUCAACCAUGACAAUACAAGCAACCAAACUCGGAACACUACCCCCAUUCCACAGCUCAUAAACAACCUCCAACGCUCUCAUAGCAUACCCUUCCCCACACAAAACCUCCAGCAACGCAAAACAAUCAAACCCUUCGGGCAAAACCUUCUUCUCACAAAACUCCAGCAACAACUCACACGCCUGCAAAACCCUCCCUUCCUUGCAAAGCCCCUGAACCAAAAUCUCACAACUAACACUCGAAAAUCGAAUCCCUAAUUGAACCAUCUCACGAGCCAUCCCAAUGGCUUCCUCAACGUUCCCUUCCCUAAACAAACCCUUAAUCAACGUAUUAAAAGUAACCACAUUGGGUAAACAUCCCAUUUUCCCCAUCUCGUGAAACAUCUCCAACGCCAAGUUAAACUGCGAGUUUCUACAAUAACCACUAAUCAAAAUGUUAAAGGUGAAAACAUCGGGCUUAACCCUGUGUUUUAGCACCAUCUCGCGGUAAAACUGGAGAGCGGCGUUGAGGGAGCCGCGUUUAACGAAGGCGUGGAUGAGGAGGUUACAGACGGCGACGUUGGGCUUGCCGUCGAUUAGUUUGCACAUGGAGUGGAAAGCGGAAACGGCGUCGUUGAGGAGAUUGGAUUUGGAGAAGGCGUGGAUGGAGAGGGAGAAGAUGGGUUGGGUUUGGGGGCAGGAGAAGAUGGAGGGGGAGCAGGGGCAGGGGUUGGAGGAGAUGAGGUGGAGGAGGGUGCGGAGUUGGGGGAGGCGGUGGGUGGAGGCGAGGGAGCGGGCCAUCCAGUGGAAGGUGAGGUGGGUGUGGCGGAAAGAGUCGAGGGAGGAGGAGGCCCAUGUGAAGAGGUGGAAGUCGAAGUGGGAGAAGGAAGGGUGGUGAUGGAGCUUGGAUUUCAAAAAGUGGAGGAGGGUGUCCGGGGUGAAAGGUGGGGCCCAGUGGGAUUUCAGGAAGUCCAGGAAGCGGGCGUAGUGGACGGGGGAGACGGCUGUGUCUCGUGGUGCUGGUGGGGAGGGGAGAGGACAACAAGGGCCUUUCACUUUCACCAACGCCAACUUCUUCAUCGCCAUUUUCAGCUUCUCACUUUAACCACCAUGGUUUUGCACUCUUGUAACACCCCUCUAAAGGACCCCUUUAAUUAAUAGAUACAACUGACCUUAUCAAUCGGACUGCGGAGACCUUAUCAAUAAGAAUCCCUUAGUCCCAAUUUACAACACAAUUACAUUUGUCUUAAUUAAAUGUUUCUAAACUAGGACUUAUAAACUUUAGGUAAGAAUUAUUUAUCGGCAAGGGUGCGUAUAUCAGUUAAGCCUAUGGAUUGGGGUAGAUAACAGACUCUUUUUUCUUUCUUUGUAGUUUGUAUAAUUAUAUUGAAUUUUUAAGUUUGAUUUGUUAAGUCCAUAGAUCUAACAGAUUUUAUUCAUGAAAUUCUAGAUUAUCUAAGUAUUUACCAACCCAAAAUGCUUACAAUAGCUGUUGAAGUCAUGAUUAAAUAUAUUUGUUUUUUAUUUAUAAGAUACAUUAGAAUAAUUAUUACAAGGAGAUUAUAAUAUGAUUGUUUUUAUAGAGAAAUUUGGGUAGAAAAACAUAUUUUAUUGCAAUUAUUUAAAUAAUUAAUAUUUUCAUAGGAGGAGAUAAUGACAAAAUCAUGUAGUUGCGGUUCGAGGUAAAGUAUCUGAAAACAGUGUAGACGUAUAGAUAGUUUUUGUGCUGGGAAAAAUCAUAACGACAAGUGGACCAAAGUCGCAAAGAGCAACCGAAAUUCAAAACGCAGAAGAAGUAGAAGAAACUCGCGUCGUGUGGUGAAUCAAAUUCAAUCCGCAGAAGAAAACAUGUUACUCUUUGCAACACUUCUUCUCUUUUCUCUGCAAUCGAGUAUCUUAACACCGAUUCCAGUAAAACCCACUAAACUCUCUUCGAAUCUCUCCGUCACCAACUCCGCCUCUUACGGCGAGAGAAUCAGCAGUAGCACGCGCCGGAGAACCAUUUCACCCUUCGAAUCCCGAAUCUCACUCAUUUUCGCCCUCGCUCCUCAAGCCAACACUCUCUCCCAGCGACGUAAAUGUUUUCCUACACCGAAUUUUAACUCUUCGUGAUUUUCUCUCAUUCUCUUCACUAUGAAAUUUUCCUAAUUAAUUUUUGUGCCGUAGUUCUAGCGGACGUGGCUGCCGAGACUGCGAAAUACGUGUUUCCGAAGAGAUUUGAAAACCGCAAUCUCGAGGAGGCGUUGAUGAGUGGUUAUUACUACUAAUUAGUUAAUUUUCAUCCUCUAAUAUAUAUAUAUUUCUGUUAAUUUGUUCCUUUUUAUUGCGUAAUUAAUCGUUUCUGUGUUGGAGCUUCGUUGCAGUUCCGAACCUUGAGACUGUCGAGUUCAAAGUUCUGAGUAGAAGGGACCAGUAUGAGAUUAGGGAAGUCGAGGUUUGUGUGUUUGCUUAGCUCCCUUUCUUUGAUGUAAAUUUAUAUUUCAAUUCAUUGUUUUUUGAAGAAUAGAGUCAUUUCUUCUUGUUCUCCAAAUGUGCAAGUAAGCAUAGGUGCUUUCUUCAUAUAAAUUACGGUUCUGCUAACCAUUAACCUCUAAGGUCAAUGAUUCAGGAAUCGAUAAAUACAGAGUUUUAUUAGAAUGUAGUAUAAUAUUUAAUGUUACGAAUGCAUUCUUGUUGGGACUUCCUAUAACAGAGUUCUAUUUAGUAUUUUUUUAACCUUUGUCUUUAGGGCAAGGAUUAGCCAAACUUUUUAAAUUUAUUGCAUAUAGGGAUGGAAUGGAACCUAUUGCGCGAUGUAUUAUGCUUCUGGCAUUUAAGGGACUCGGUUUACAUAAUAUUCUUAGGCUUUAGAGUUGAUAUGCUGUUACAGAAUCCUUACAUAUGAAAUACAUACAAGUGCUUUGUCGUCACUGACAAACCAUCUGGUCUUGGGAAUGUCUCCCCUUGAUCUGAUGAUUAUCUUUGCAGCCUUACUUUGUGGCAGAGACAACAAUGCCUGGAAAGAGUGGGUUUGAUUUCAAUGGUGCUUCUCGGUCCUUCAAUGUUCUGGCUGAGUACCAUUUUGGUAAGGUAGUUAUAUAUUUUAGAAUUGAACCACAUUCAUGCAUUUUAAAAUUUUACUGGGUUGCCUUUGAUCACUGUCCCUUUUUGUUUUCCCCUUCUAUUUUAAGAGAAGAGAAAAGUUAUAGAUGUGUGUUGUUGUUCUGCUGGUAGAAUACAACUAAGGAGAAAAUGGAGAUGAAUACACCUGUUUUCACAAGUAAGAAUCAAUCUGAUGGGGUUAAAAUGGAUAUGACAACUCCUGUGUUAACAACAAAGGUAUUAUGAUUAUUUUUUCAUGGAUUUUUUGAAAUGUCUCAUUUACAAUCUUUAUCUUAUUUAUUUUUAUAUGCAUUGCCUGCAAGUUUAGUGUAAUUAUAUUUUUUUUAUUUAAUAUGAAUUCGUUUCAGCAAACAUAACUGUAGAAACAUGCCUUUUCAUAUCAAGGCAACACUUAAACAGCCAAAGCUAAAAUGCCUGUAGGCACAACAAUUUGAUAAAACUAUUGUCAACAAUGGCAGUGAAAUAAUUGCACCUAACUUAUUUUCAUACUAUGAAUUUUUGACCUACUAUAAUUCACAAUUUAAAAACCAUCCUUCUGGAAUUCAGACUCAAUUGAAAUAAAGCUCUCCUAAUUAUUCAGCAAUGGCUAGAUUACCCUGGCAUAUUUUGUCGGGCCCAUUUUCUGUCACGCUAUCUAAAUAAAUAGUUAACACCUGAAAAUUCUUUUGAAUUCAUACGUUCUUUAACAUAUGGGCUAAUUAAUAUGUAAAUUGUAAAGUUUAAGCUCUGUCUGAGAUUGGAUAAAUUGAUACCAUUCUUCGCCUUAUAAAUCACCUAUAUCUAUCCCAAUUAGAUGACAUGAUAACUCUAUUAUUUUCCCUUUUAGGUCAUGGGUUCAUUUUUCAUUGUCUUUUUCCUUUUGUUUUCAAUUUUAUGAUAUACUCAGUGUACUAGUGUCACUUUGCACUUAACUGUGUGGAUUUUGUGAUGGUAUUUUCUGGAAGUUCUAUAUUUAAUAAUUAAUACAUUUAUUUGAUUAGGAGCUAUUUUUCAUAAUUUAUGAUGUUCUAAUUUAUCAAUGAUAUUAUCUUAGAUGGAAGAUCAAGAUAAUUGGAAAAUGUCUUUUGUCAUGCCAUCAAAGUAUGGAGCUAACUUGCCACUGGCUAAAGAUUCCUCUGUGAGGAUUAAAGAGGUGCCCAGAAAAAUAAUUGAUGUAGUUUCCUUUUCAGGUGCGCUAUUGCCUUGAUACUUUUUACAAAUAACUUGUAUACAAAUGUAAUUUAAUUUCAUUUUUUGCCGGUUGUCUGCUAUUUGGGUUUUAUUUGCAGAAAGCCAUUACUUCUGUAAAUAAUUAAUUACUGGAGGAAGCACCAAUAAUACACAGUUGAUUUAUUUCAAAAUUUAUUAUCGCACAUAUAUUUUUAUGUUUUUACGCAUGUAUGUUCAUCUGGAUGUGUUCCAUUUUUUUUGUAUUUUGUGUGCAAGGAUGUGUUGCAUUUUUAUUUUAACUGAAUAUUGGUGUGCCUGAGUAUGAAUCUUGGUUGGUUAACCAUAAAGUUAAAGAGUAAAUUAGACUGCUCUAUCUGUAUUGCAGCAUAAAUGGAUAAGAUAAAAGUUUUAUUCAAAUUUAACUUAAAGUCCUCAAUCAAAUAAAUAUUUUACUUUGCUUUGUGAAUCAGGUUUUUGUGAAUGAUGAAGAAAUUAAGCAGCGCGAAUUGAAACUACAAGAUGCUUUAAAAAGUGACAGUCAGUUUAAAAUUAAAGAGGGAACUUCAGUUGAAGUUGCACGGGUUAGAAUCUUAAUGCAAUCUUGGGGUUAAAGGAAGGUAUACCCGUUCCUUUUCUUCAAAUGUCACUCUUUUAUUUUCUUGCAGUAUAAUCCACCAUUUACUCUUCCAUUUCAAUGCCGUAAUGAAAUUGCAUUGGAGGUGGAAUGGAAAAAUAAAUAGGAAAAAUAUCAUUACUUGGAUUGCAAUACAAGAUCUUUUACUCAAUAUUGAUGCAUAUCUUUUAAUAUAUAUAUAUAUAUAUAUAGUUCCUGCUAUUCAUAAGUAAGUUUAGUAGUUAUGGUAAGAUAUCCUUUUAUUAGUGAUUAGCCUCUUUUCUAGAUUCUCCCUUCUCUUAUAACCAUAGACAAACCUAUUUCUACUAUUUGGAGCUGAGUCAAAAAGUAAUGUAAAUUAACGUUCGUAGUGAUUAAGUCACGAUAUUUCUUUUUAUGUUUUUUAUUCAUAUUAUGUCUUUGACAUGCUUUUGAGUACAUUUUUAAGGAUGGUUCCCAUUAUAUAUCAUAGGAGGUGUGCAAAUGGUAACAGUGAACUUUGAAUCAAAAGAGUGAAAGAUUACAUUCAGAGCAAUGAGCUUCAAGAAGUGCAAAAAUUUGUGUAAGCCUGAUCUGCACGUUUGAAAAGUGUCAUUGCUACUGAAAAGACCACAAGCUCAAAGAGGAUGUAAGGUAGGUGAAUCUAUACGCUGCAAAUCUACAUUACUCCUUCAAAGAUCUACUUUUCUGAUACUUUUGAUUCAAAGACGUAAGAUGUUGGAUUGUCAGAGCUACGGUGUUGGAUUUACNNNNNNNNNNNNNNNNNNNNNNNNNNNNNNNNNNNNNNNNNNNNNNNNNNNNNNNNNNNNNNNNNNNNNNNNNNNNNNNNNNNNNNNNNNNNNNNNNNNNAGGCUGUAGAUGCCUAUGUUCAUCGAAUGGAUGUAAAAUCCCAGUUUGAUAGACGUAACUUCCACAGUAAAUGUGUUACAUAAUACAGAAAUUACAUAUGAAUUUUUUCAGAGAAGUUACUUAUGAAUAGCAGGAACUAGAAGACCUGUGUCACUAGUAAGAUUUCCUCAUCUUACUUUUUCAGUUAUAUAUGCAUGCACUUUUUGCUUUUAUAUUUUCUUGCUAUACUUCUCUGGUGGUGUUGAGAUGGGGGAAGUUGUUUGAUGGUUUGGCACCUGUGCUUUUCUCCCUUUUGUCGUUACUUUGCUUCUGAACUUGUGUCAAAUGGA